This 60223-nucleotide long non-coding RNA is filed under the name Populus trichocarpa (black cottonwood). RNAcentral describes it as "long non-coding RNA (PTRI_LNC003981)". Lineage: Eukaryota; Viridiplantae; Streptophyta; Magnoliopsida; Malpighiales; Salicaceae. The record is from RNAcentral.
CACACACGCACACAAACGCAACUCUCUUUUGCAAACACUUGGCCAAAAAAGAGAAAAAAAUGUCAGAGAAAGUCUUCCCUUCUUCAAAACCAGCAACCAAUGGCACCGCCACUGCUAACACCACCACCACCGCAAGCAACCCACCAAACGCCACAGCAAACAAAUCCCACCUAUACAACCCUACUUCCCGCCUACCUUACCGUCCACAACCUCACACCCGUCGCCAUCGUAGCCGUAGUGGACGAAACAUCUGCUGUUGUUGCUGUUUCUGGACAAUCCUCACCAUCCUCUUGCUCCUCCUCCUCGCUGCCAUUGCUGGUACUGCUCUUUACAUCCUUUACCGACCUCACCGCCCUACCUUCACCAUCACCUCCCUACGCAUCCACCGUCUUAAUCUCACCACCUCUGCUGACUCCUCCAUUUCCCACCUCUCCACUCUUCUUAACCUCACUAUCAUCUCCGAGAACCCCAAUUCACAUAUCUCACUAGACUAUGAACCCUUCACGGUCUCUGCAUUAUCUGAUGGCAAUGGUGUGUUUCUUGGUAAUGGUUCUUUGCCUGCUUUCAGUUUGAGUAAAAAGAAUCAGACAAGUUUUAGAAAUGUUGUGGUUUCUGGGUCGAACGAUCUUGACGUCGAUGCACUAAAUUCUUUGAGAUCGGAUCUGAAGAAGAAGAAAAGUGCAGAUGGAUCAGUCAUGUUGAAGAUUGAGAUGGAUACAAGGGUGAAAAUGAAGGUGGGUGGAUUAAAGACGAAGGAAGUCGGAAUUAGAGUUACUUGUGAUGGGAUUAAAGGGUCUAUACCGAAAGGUAAAACACCAACAGUUGCUGUUACUACCAAGUCUAAGUGUAAGGUUGAUCUAAGAAUCAAGAUCUGGAGGUGGACCUUCUGAAGUUUUUCAUUCCUCUUUUUUAUGUUUUUGUUUUUGUUUUUCCCUUUCCUUUUUCUUUCUGGUUUUAUAUUUUUUUUGUGGUUUGUAAACUUUCUGAGAAGCAAGAAAGUGCAAAUUAUGGAUUGAGAAAAAAAAAAAGGAUAGAAAAUGUGAGUAGGUGAAUGAGAGUGAAAAAAGGUGUUGAAAUUAAGAAUUCUUGAAAAAUAUUGAAUAUAUUUUGGUGAUUCAAAGUUAAUCUUCUGUCUUCUUGGGUGAUGCAUGCUUAGUAUUUUAGCGUUAAUUGUUACUUCUCUCUCAACUGUAAUAAUCCAUGUUCAUGAUUGAGAUUUACCAGUUUUGUGAACACCUGAGCAAUAAUUUCUGGGAAUUAACCCCUGGAACUGCUCCACAUUUGGAGGCGCAGAUCCCAGAAGAGCAAAAUCGGGUGCUUGUGUUUCUCUUAACCAAGGGAAGGACGCAGGGAUGGGCCAGUGAUGCUGGCAUUUUGGAUUUUUUAGUAACUGUUUUGAUGUCAUUUAAUGUUCUUUUUUAAUUAUAUUUUUCUAUAAAUUUUAAAAAAUAAUAAAAAUAUAUUAUUUUAAUAUAUUUUAAAAAUGAAAAACAGAAGAACCUUAAUGACUUUUCUAAAUACCUUCUUUUUGAUGUGAUGAAUUUAUUUUAAUGUAGUUCGUUUAUUUGGAACCAUGUGGGGAGGUCUCGAUUAAUGCAAGAGCACUGAAAUUAAUGGCAAAAUCACUUUUAAACAUUUUAUGCAAGCAAAUUGUGGAGCUCGCUCUCUAUUUAUUGAUUUUCAUUUCUAACUUUGAUUUGUUUUUCUGGUUGGGAAAUAAUUUUAUAAAAUUUUAAUUUUUAAUUUUUAAUUAUUUUUAAUUAUUUUGAUAUUUUAAUAUUAAAAAUAAAUUUUAAAAAAUAAAAAAAUAUUAUUUUAAUAUUUGAAAAAAAUACUUUGAAAAAAAAAAUACAAUACCAAACGAGAUUCUAAAAUCAUUGCAAUGGAUAUUAUAGAUUUUUUGCAAGCUUUUCGUCCAUAAAUCAUAAAUGUGAUAUUGUGACCUAUGCAUCGCAAAGGUAGAGUAGAAAAUUAAAUUGAAAUUUAGAAAAGAUCCAAGGCAUAAAAUAAUGAAGUUGCACGGGACAAUCCAAGUUGAGGGGCAAGAAGGACGAGGAGGCAUUAACUCUUUAAAAAGAAUGAGAGAAGACGGUAACUUCUUAGCAAGUUUCAUUUAUUAUUAUUAUUAUUAUUAAAAUAGAUGAUCGAGCCAGUUUGCGUGUAUCUUAAUUAAUUUUACAGAUUCUGAAAUUAAUGACAAUAUAAGUUUCUAGUGAUCCUAAAAUUUAUAGGACUCGAACUGGUAAUCUUUAAAAAAUAAAUUCAUGAUCUGAUCAGUUAAGUUACACUCCUAUAAAUUAUAAAUUUCAUUGUUUCUUCGCUAGAUUGAUGUGAGAUAUAGGUCCAAUUCAUUCAAUGCAACUUAUUUUCCAUGUUGGACAUGGUACUCCUACUACCACUCUCCUCUUUAUAUAUAUCGUAGUUGACCCGUCUUUUCCCUGCGUUUCAACCAAGAGUUCGAUUGCCAAUUUCCCAAGUAGGAAGGAGAAGAACAAGCGAAAGAAAGAGUCAAAACAUGGAGCACAAAUUGCUUGAUAGAUAGAUAUCAUAAAAAUAAAAAUAAAAAGUUACUUUCUGAAAUUAAGGAGGAAUAAGGUCUUCAUUCAGUUUAGAUUGAACUUAACUUGCACUAUUGUUAAGCACUCAAGGAACUAUUAAUUUCGUGCAACUAUGAUGCUAUUUGUUUUUUUUUUUUUCCUCUUAGGGCAUCUCCUACGUAGGAUGUAAAAGAGAAGCCAAACCCAAAAAAACUGUUCUUUUAGCUUUUUUUUCUUCUCAAUUAGCAGCUCCAAUGGGAAUAGUAAAAAUAUCUCUCUUUCCCAUAAAAAUUAUUCUUACAAAUUUCUUUAAAAAACUAAAACCAACAAGCCAAUAAAAAAAAUAAACAAAUUAAGUGAAGGCAUGUGAAAAGAAAAUGAUUUUAAAUUCUUUGAAGAACAAGUAAAGCAUUUCCUUGUCUUUCUCCACUACAAUUGGUUUUUCAAAUGACUUUUUUUGUUCUAUUGAAGUAUAAGAGAAGAAAAAAAAAAGCUAUAUUUAUAUUAUUUAAAAUGUUAUAUUAAUAUUUUGGCACUUUAAGAUAUCAUCUUGCCUUGGAGAUGCUUUUACAAUGACAUACUAAAAUUAAAAUUUUCUUUCUUGGGAUAUAGCACACCUAAACUAAUAUAUUUAUGAAAAAAAAUUCUUUCAUGUUCUUUUUUUUUAAUUCAAUUCAAACCAAGAACAAAACCACUUACAAAAAUUCAUCAGGUUUCCAAGAAUUGCAAUGUUAUUUCAUAAAUGUACCUAUAAGCUAGCUUAGUUGGUUGCAAACUUUUUUCCCACUCAACAACUCUUGUUGUUUUAUUAAUCUUUAUAAGGUGUUUUUUUUUAAAAAAAAAAACAUUGCAUAAAUACAAUUCCCUUAAUGGGGCACAAUUUACCCCAAUUGCCAACAACAUUAGGAUUAGUGACAAGUCUCAGCCCCUUGCACCGUGCGAAUUUCCUUAAGUUAUUGGCACAUAUACCACAAUGUAACAGUUGCUACCCCUAUCACAUAAUGGAUAUAUUUUUCAACUUAUCUCUUUUUUUAGUAUGACCUAUUUUCUUCACCUAUAAAGCCAUCAUUUUUUAUGCCAAUAACUAUCUCCCUCACCUUGUCUCUUCUGAGAUGCCUACUCUCUCGCUAAUGGUUAUACCUUGACUUGUUUCACUCUUAAACCUUUCUACUAAUAACAAGUAAGGCACAACAACUAAAAACUUAUAUAUAUCCAUAUGACCCGAGGUAAUGAUUCUUCGUCAUUUCCCCCCUUUCACAAGGUAAACUCAUAUGACCUAAGGUAGGGGGGCAUAAGGUUACAUGAGACCAUUUAUUACUCUCCUUUGUUCUACAUACCUCAUCAUCAUACACAUACUUCUCAUAUCAUAUAUUUACUAAUUUAAGCAUUAAAUGGUCUCUUAUUUCGACAAGGAAUUUAUUUUGCAGGAAAGCUCAUGGAAAAAUCUAAUCACUCCACCAAUCUAAGAUUAGAGCCAUGAGAAGCCCAAUCCAAUUUAAGGUUUUCAUGACUUCAUUUGUAGCUCUAGCUAGUUCAUUUCAAUUUCACAUCCAUUACAAAAAAAUCUUGUUAUCUUUUGUUUUAAUAUAUAAGAAUAACUUUACACUUUUCCAUUCUUAGAAUGGGAAACACAAUGGUUAGCUCUAUUACCUACACCACUAAGUGCACAUAGACAACUCCAAAUUAUCUAAGAGAACAUAAUAGAACAAUGUGCAAAGUAAGCACAAGAACAUUUGUACUCUAACUCUAUGAAGGAGUCGCUCAUACUAUAAAGAGCAUUCCUCAACAAGCCCUAGCUAAAAAAGUGGCUAUCAUCAUCAAUUAUUUUAUAAAUGUUGCUCACAUGCUCCUCAUUGAAAAAAACUAGAUGCGAGAUGAGAUCAAUAAUUGCAUGAGCUUCUAAGAAUAAACACCAAGUAGAAAAUGCUCCGCUUUAUCAUCAAGUAUUACACGUUUAUCUCUUCGAAGGUUGAGUCUUCGUGAAGGCCAUCUUAGACAAUUACAAAGAUCUUACAAACCUAAAAGAGCACGUAUAGAACUUGGAAAGCAUCCUAGAACUUAUAACACAAAAAAGUGAUGUUAUGUGUAAAAUUCUCCUGACAACAUUCCAUGGAUUUAUUUAGGUUUGGUAUCACAACCUUUAGCCUAACUCCAUCAUUAGUCUGUAUGAUCUAUGUGUUAAGUUUAUCUCCUAUUUCAACACUAAUAUCCCAACUGAAAAGAACACCAUUAAACUCUUUAUUAUAAAUACAAUGGGAAUAUGAGAGUACUAGAGCAAUAUCCAAGGGUUUAAUGAGGAAAUGCUCAAUAUAAAGAAUCUACUCGAACAUGUUAUCACUAAAGCUCUAAACACUAGAGUCUAUAACUACUUUUUAUGAGAACAAUUGAAUACUCUCCAUUACUGAACACUCCUCAAUGUGAAACAAGUGAUAGAAAACCACGUUUGAGUAAAGAAAGUAAGUGUGACUAGACAAAAACACCUUUGUUUCCAGUCAUGAAUAACAAAAUCUCUUCAACAUCAUUAAUAUCAUACUAAGGCAUUCAAUAGGAGAACCGAAUGAUCUAUUUAUGACUGCCUAACAUUCUGUAAGCUCAUGGCCACACCUCUAACCACCACACAUGCUGAGGUAUUGGUUGUUAAUUAGUAAGGGAAAAGAAUUCCUAUGAUACCCAUAUUACAUAAAGAGUGGCACGAACACAAGAACUUUAAUAACUUUUUCACUUUCAUCACGACCACAAUCAUGAUACUAAGGAAUGUCAUGCCCUGAAAAAGAAGAUAGAAAUAUUAAUGGCUAAGGGUCACCUCCAAUAAUUUCCGAUGAAUGAAAUGCAACCUGAAUAAAUAGGGAAAGAUCUUUAUGAUGCAUUAAAUAAGAUCAAAUAAUCUUUAAUAAAAUCUUUAAUAAUCUUUAAUAUAAUCUUUAAUAAUCUUUAAUCUCCAAACUAAUUCUCCAUGCCUCCAAAUAGGUUUUCAUGUCUCUAAUAAAAUCUCUAUAAUGAGAUCUCCAUGUCUCCAAGAGAAAUCUUAACGUCUCCAUGCAAUAUCUCCUUAUAUAAUGUUUUAACACUACUUUCACACAAAACAUUCUUCAUUUUCUACGUAAUAAUAUUAUGUACUAUCUCUCUUAUUGGCAUCAAACUCAUCAAACUUCCAUCUCUUUUAUUCGCAAAUUAACAAAAUUAAUAAGAAAGCACAUUAUCAAAAACCAUGAGAAGGUAAAAUCACAUGUAUAAAAUAAUAAGUAUUUUCUUACUUCUAUUAGUCAAGUCUUUCAAACAUGAACAAUUUAAAUGACAUGGAGGCAAAUAAUAGUGCCAAAAAAUCAAGUAGGAAAAAAAGGGUCCAAGCAGUAAGAUAAGAAACACUCCUACCGCUUAGGCCAAACUCGAAUAAUAAGAGAAGAAAAACGCAGACAAAGCUCCUAGCACUCGAGCUAGGCCCAAGCAACAGGAGAAGAAAAACCCUUUUACUAAUAAGCCAAAAAUAACAAAAAAAAAAUAUCUUUGCCAAACAAGGAUUUUGCAUGACAAGUCCUUGCACCUUGCAAAUUCCCAAAAGUCAAUGGCAUAUACUACAAUGCAACAUUUGUUAGCCUUUUCACCCAAUGGAUAUUUCCCUCAAUAGUUACUUUACUAACUUAAGUAUUAUAAAGUCCCUUGUUUUGACAUGAGACUUGUUUUACAAAAAAGCUCAUAGACCAAACAGUCAAAGAUUCAUUUUUUAGGGUUUUUGUUAUUGUUUUGCUAUUUUUGGUUUUUUCUGAAAAUUUAUCAAAAACAUGGUUCAAAAAAUGGGUAGCAACAAAGAAGAGGAAGAUUUAAAAGAAAAUGACGAGGAGGUCGAGAAAGCCUCAACAGAUCAAAUGGUCGACCGAAUAAAAGGAACCGAUCAAUCGGUUUAACUGGCAGUAGCAAUUUGAGAUCCAGAAGUUAAAUGCUAUAAUUAUCAAAAGACAGGUCAUUAUGCUAGGGAUUGCUGGAGUCCAACCAAUAGGGUUGAGGAGAAUGUAAAUCUUGUGAUAGAAAAAGAAAAGGAAGUCACUCUACUACUAGUGCAUGAUGAGAGAAUGGAAGACAAAGAGAACAUGUGGUACCUAGACAACGAAGCUAGUAACCACAUGUGUGGAAACAAAGACAAGUUCAUGGAGUUUGAUGAAGUAAUUAGAGGUAAUGUCACCUUUGUAGAUCAUUCAAAGGUUGCCAUCAAAGGAAAAAAGGUACGGUUUUAAUUAAAUUAAAAGAUAGAAGUCAUUAAUUUAUUGGUGAUGUCUAUUAUAUACCAACGAUGAAAAGCAAUAUAUUGAGCUUAGGAUAAUUGUUGGAGAAGAGGUAUGUGAUUAAAAUGAAAGAUCAUAUUUUGACAUUACUUGACAUUAAAGAUGAUAUGAUUGCAAAGGUAGCCAUGACAAAGAAUAUAAUGUUCUUGUUAAAUAUAGAGAUGAAUGUGCCUAAAUGCCUAAAUGCAUGUGUGAAAGAUGAAACUUGGCUUUGGCAUAUGAGAUUUGAGCAUGUAAACUUUGAUAGCUUGAAGAUGAUGGCACAAAAGAAGAUGUUGAAGGGUCUACCAUCCAUUAUACAUCCAAAUCAGUUGUGUGAAGGAUGUUUAGUGGGCAAGCAAUUUCACAAGAUUUUUUUGAAGGAGUCUACAUCAAGAGUAAAUCAACCCCUACAAGAACUACAUGUCGAUGUUUGUGGUUCUAUCAAACCAUGUUUGUUUAGUAAAAUUUAUAUUUUUUACUUUUUAUUGAUGAUUAUAGUAGAAAGACUUGGGUACACUUCUUAAAAGAAAAGUCUAAUGUGUUUAGUUGUUCUAAGAAAUUUAAGGUAUUAGUUGAAAAAGAAAGUGGUUAUUCUAUAAAAUCACUUAGGACAGUUAGGGGGUGAAUUUUGUUCUAAUGAUUUUAAUGAGUUUUGUAAAGAUAUGGUAUAAAGAGAAUCUUAACAGUACCUAGAUCCCUACAACAAAAUGACGUGGUGGAGAGAAAGAAUAGAAAUAUCCUUAACAUGGCGAGAAGCAUGCUCAAAACCAAGAAAAUGCCUAAAGAUUUUUGGGUUGAUGCUAUAAAUUAUGUUAUCUACUCGUCAAAUAGAUGUCCCACUAAAAGCUUGAAUGACAUGACUCCACAAGAAGCAUAGAUUAGAAGAAAACCAAGUGUCUCUCACUUGAAAGCUUUUGGGAGCAUUGAUUACGUGCAUGUAAUGAUCAAGUAAAGACCAAACUAGAUGACAAAAGUAAAAAGAUGAUCUUUGUGGGCUACGACCAAAAGUCUAAAGGAUACAAGCUUUACAACUCUAAUGAAGGAAAGAUGGUGAUUAGUAGAGAUGUUGAGUUCAAUGAAGAAGGAGCAUGAGAUUGAAAGAUAAAUGAUGGUGAAAAAUAUGACUUCUUACUAAUUCUUGAUGAAAAGGAGGAAAGAUAUGAAGAUCAUCAAGAACAUAUAGUCACACCUCCAAAAACACCAAUGAGCUUAACUUCUUCUUCUUCUUCUAAUGAAAGCUCAAGUAGUGGCACUCCACCAAGUCCACCAAAAAAGAUGAGGAGCUUUGAUGACUUAUAUGAGGUAACUAAUCCUAUUGAUGAUGUAACACUAUAUUAUCAUCUUGCUAUAUGUGAUACUAUAGUGUUUGAAGAAAAUAAAGGGUGCAAAAUGAAGAAUUACUAUGGAUGGGGAGUUACAUAAAUUAAGAAGAAUGACACAUGGAGAUUGAUUCCUAGACCAAAUGAAAAGAAGCCAAUAUGUAUCAAGUCGAUCUACAAAGGAAAGAAGAAUGUCAAAGGAGAGGUUAAGAGAUACACGACACGAUUAGUGGCAAAAGACUAUAGUCAAAAGCAUGAGAUUGACUAUGAAGAGGUUUUUGCUCCUGUUGCUAGAUUGGAGACCAUUCGAUUAAUCAUUGCCACCGCUGCCUAACAUAGAUGGAGAAUCUAUCAAAUGGAUGUCAAAUCAACAUUUUUUGAAGACAAGGUUUACAUUGAGCAACUUGUAGGAUAUGAAGUGAAAUGACAUGAAGAUAAGGUUUUAAAGUUAAAUAAAGCCUUGUAUAGAUUGAAGCAAGCUCCAAGGGCUUGGUAUAGUCGCAUUGAUGUCUAUUUCAUAAAGAAUGGAUUUGUUAAGUGUCUCAUGAAUAUACUAUCUAUGUAAAUAUCAAAUAGAAUGGUGAUACACUUAUUGUAUGUUUGUAUGUGGAUGACUUAAUCUUUAUAGAAAAUAAUUCAAAGAUGUUUGGAGACUUAGAGCAAGCAAUGAUCAAGGAGUUUGAGAUGAUGGAUAUUGGUCUCAUGUCCUACUACUAAGGGAUUGUGAUCAAACAAGGAGAAGAUGAAAUCUUUGUGAAUUAAGAGAAGUUUGCAGGGGAGAUUCUCAAGAAAUUCAAAAUGAAGGAUUGUGCAAAGGAUUGUUCAAAAUGAAGAUGUCAAAGAAUGAUAAAGGGGGGAAGAUAAACUCUACAACAUUUAAGAGCUUAGUUAUGAGUUUGAGAUAUUUGACAUGCACUCGUCUAUAUAUUCUUUAUGAAGUAGGACUUGUGAGUAGGUUUAUGGAGACAUCAACUAUGACUCACGUCAAAGCCUUGAAAUGAAUUCUACGAUACAUCAAAGGUACCAUAGAUUUUGGCUUAUUCUAUGGUUAUUCUACUAGUUUUGAUCUUGUGGGUUAUAGUGAUAGUGAUUGGGCUGGAGAUAUAGAUGAUAGAAAGAGCACUACAAGUUCUUUUUUUUUACAUGGAAGACACAGUUUUCACAUGGAAUUCAAAGAAGCAAUUUAUUAUCACAUUAUCUACUUGUGAAGCUGAAUAUAUAGCUACCACAACAUGUAUUUGUCAUUCCAUAUGGCUAAGAAGAUUAUUAUAGUUGCGAAUGUCACAAGAGAAGCCUACAAAGAUUUAUAUAGACAACUCAUCAGCCAUUACAUUAGCUAAAGAUCUAGUUUUUCAUAACAAAUAAGCCAUUUUACAUUGUGGUGAACCGUUAGCAUUGGAUUGUUUUCAUCGACGGUGGAGAGUGAGCCAGCAAAAUCAGGUGAUGUAGGAAAGAAGAAUGGAAAGAAAAAGGGAGUGAGUGAUUGGGUGGUGUUACUCGGUGGCUAUUUUGGCAGCUCUCGUGACCAUCACGUGCUGUUGUUACUAUGAAAAAAGACAAAAUAAUGAGGCCCGCGAAGGAAAAGUUGGGUCAGCCAAUUCAAUUAGUGGAUUUUAUAUACAAGUUUUUAUAUAUAUAUAUAUAUAUAUAUAUAUAUAUAUAUAUAUAUAUAUAUAUAUAUAUAUAUAUAUAUGGUGGCAAAGAUAAAAUUGAAAGAGACCAAAUGCAAGUGUCACUGUGUUAUAUGCACACACAAAUGCACUAAGGGUUAUUGCAAGUGUCAUUUUAUUAUCAACAAUAUUUUUAAUAUUAAUUUCAACCAAACUAAAUAUUUUUUAUUCAUUUUCAUUUAAUAUCAACUUUAAUAAUAAUUUUAAUUAAAUAUAUAUUUUAAUCCAACUAAAACUAUUUUAUUUAAAUCUAUAUUUUUUAAAUUAUAAUCACAAAAGUUAAAUACACACUGAAACAUUUUCAAGCAUUGUUAGAUUAAAAGCUUACUAUGAUUCUAAUGAGUUAGCUUUUGGUCUCUGAUUUUCAACUAAAUGGAAGCUUACACUCUCUCUUGCAUGGUUAGUAUUUCUGAAGCUGGUCUCUACCAACUCCAGCAUGCCUCAUCUAUCUCAAACAACGCUUAUAAAGCAACAGCACUAAUGUCCAACAACCAGAAUAAUGUUAGCCAAAGAAGGUGCACCCAAAAAUGCGAUGUUUAUAGCUCUGGGGUUAUUUUGCUCGAGAUAUUGACAGGGAAAAUGCCAAACGGAGAGAAAUAAAAGUUUAGUGAAGUGGGCUCAAAGAGUGGCAAGAGAAGAGUGGACUUGGGAGGUCUUUGAUUUUGAGUUGUUGAGGUAUAAUAUAUGAAGGGGGAGAUGGUAGGUCUCAUGCAAGUGGCUUUGCUUUGCUUGGCUCCAUCGCCAAGAGACCGUCCAAAGAUGAGCACGGUGCAUACGAUGAUUGAAGAUAUUAGGACAAAGGGUGGUGACCGGAAUUCUAUUAUCUAUCAGAAAGCACCAUCAAUUUCACCAGUGGGAGUUGAUUGCUUUAUAGAAGAGAAGUGGCAGCUGUUGUGUUUGCAUAAUUAGCAGAAAGGGAGCUGGGAUUUGAGAUAGUAAACCAUGGCCUGGGCUAUUGGCAAGUUCUGUUAGAACAAUAACAUGUAGAUAUCAUCUAGUUUUCAUGGUAGCAUGUUCUGAAUGAUGGAAAUUAUACAGUAUAUAUGUAUAAAUGCAUGAUUUCAAGCACUAACAAAGUAGCAGCAGAAAAUUUCUUGUUAGCAAUUAGAAUGCCAGCAGAAAUGUAGGCAAUUGGGAUCUUGUCGUUCUUAGCGACUCUGAAGCUGUUUGACAUUUAACACCAGUAUUUUUUGAAACAGAGGAUUGAAACUAUUGGCACGGUACUGGUUGUUGUUGGGUGCACAGAAUGGUCAGUUGGUCCUGAGCCAAAAAAACGGGCCGUACAUCUUCCAGGUGAAAAAUCCAUUCAAAGAAGGUCAUGUUUGUUUGCUUGGUAGUCCUGGGACAGGAUUUCAAUGUUAAUGCUAUCUUACUCGGACUAUACAGGCUUGAAUGAGCUUUUAAGAGGUCAUGAACAACAAACACAAUGCAACAAAACUAGAAGGUGAUGUGAGAAGAUGUUAACUUGUGGCUAUGAAUGCAAGACAAAUCCAAAAAGAAAGGCCACAAAAUCACAUGGUUUUGACCAACUUGCAUGGAUGCUUCUUCAUGUGGAGCCAAUUUUUCCGUCGAUCAACGGGUUGGCAUUGGGGUCCAGAAUUCAGGUGGCUCCAAGUAGAAAUGGAAAAGAGGGAGAUGGCUUUAUUCACAGGAUCGGUCGGUCCAUCAUAAUCUUUCAAAUGGCUAGCAUUUCUUUCAGCUUUUAAGCAGCUACCUAAACCUCUCCUUACCUUUGCAGGACUCUGAAUUGAUAAAUCCAACAACCAUCGAUAGCCAUUACUUGAUGUUUUCAACUGUACCCAAUAUAUACAAAUCAUGAAAAAAAAUCAUGGGCUGCAGCCUAAACAGCGAAUACCUUGAGUACUGUGGAUAUUAACUACAAUUCACCUUGUGAAACAAACUUUCAAACGAGGCAGGACUUCAUAUCAAAGUUAACUCCACUUUCAUAUACAGAAAAUGAUCCCCAUCAAAAGUGAACUUCCAGCAGGGUGCGGAUUUACAGGAGCAACAGAAAUUUAAGAUUGUGCUAUUCAAUGGCAUUGCUAAACUCAAAUGACUAAAUGAGACAUAAUCACAGAAGGCACGAAACAGUGGAAUUCUCUCCUACCAACGUAAAAAAAGAAGCUAAGUUGUGUAAUGCAAAUCUAUCAAACAUGUCACUGUAUGAAUUUCCUGCUGGCACGUGUCUCCUCUCGGUAUAUAACAAUCAAAAUUAUAAGAAACCUGAGCAGAGCUACUGCAACAGUUUUCAGUCUAAUCUUUGUCAUUUAUCAGUUUUCCGAGAAAAUACCAUGGUAUCAUCCUUUAGAUUGUCCACUGCUCGUGUUGGCAUGAUUUUCCAUCGUGUUUUAAUCCUCUAUGGAACUGAAAACAGAACAAAACAAAACUUGCAUCAGUAAUAACAGCAUAUCACAUUGGUAAGAAGACGCUGAUUACCACUAGAGUGAAGCAUCUUCUUUUUACAGUGCAAAUACAUGCUAUACUGAUUGUCCACUCCUAUACUGAUUAUCACAUUUCCUUGAGAGUCUCUCUCGGUCAACCAGGGACCUAAAGCCCAAACUACACAACAAAAGUAGUGAGGCAGGCCACUCUGUAGCAAGACAAUGCUCAAGCGGCCCUUUGAGGCCUCGGAAAAUAAAACAAGGUCCAAGAAAUUUUGCACUUGCUAUCCAAAAACAUGAAUGAAUGAAAUGAUAUUAUUUGCAUAAUAUGUGAAAGCAAAAACUUGAGCUAUCCUAUUCUUUUUGAUGCAACACAAUUGUAAACUUGUAGGAAUACUUGUCACUAACACCUACUAUCCCAAGUCCAAACCAAUUGUUGAUGGAAACCAUCUGCAGAGGAAUCAGUCUUAAUCCUUACUAUCUCAGUAGUAUUUACUCAUGCAUUUGGUAAUGUGUGAAAUAAAACGAAAAACCAGAUAUAAUCUCAUUUGAAGUUAAUCUGGGUGAUUCAAAGCAACAUUCUACAGGCAAAACAUUAAUUUGUGGCUCUUUAAGUAAUCAUAACUGACACAAUCACUCAUAUUUGCUCCACAGUGAAAUGAAUGCAUGGCCUCAGACUUUGCAAAACAACGUAAUUAUCUAGUCUUACAUGCACAAACACAAAUUAAGAAGACAACAGUAUUUAUUUAUUUUUGAAUAAUUUACUCUAUUAUCUAAUUACCCUCAUCAAUUUUAAUUUGGGUUUCAACUCUUUUAACAUUACAAAAACACAAUUCUUUCUUGUUAAUUGUUUGACACUUUUAACUGUUAUGCUUAUAUAUCACCAAUUAACUCUUGACAUUGACUAAUAAAAACAGUAAGAAUUAAUUAUAUGCAUGCACUAAUCAAGAAUAUCAAAAACCGUCAUCGCUCACAUCCUGAAGUGGUUGCUUCCCAUGUGCUUUUGAAGAGGAUGGUGAUGAUGAUGAACGCCUUUCAGGCUUAACAGCAGGCUGGCCAAUAGAGAGAGAAAUCCCUUGAUGAACACCAUCAAACAGUUUAGUUUCUUGAGCAAAACUGGAUUCUUGAAGUUGCUGAGGGUUCUGAAGAUUCUCAUACAAAAAGUUACAAUCUUGAUUAAGAGAUUGUACAAUAUUAGCACUACUGUUUUCUUGAAGAAAGUCCACAAAGCCUACAUUAUCAACAACAUUUUGGUCUCCAAGUUGUUGUUGCAGGGUAUGAAAGCAGGCCACUUGAGCUUGCACAAACUCAAGUUCAACCUUGACAGCGUUAAUAUUCUGCAGCAAUCUUGAAAUGAUGCCAGUACAACCACUAACAGGAUCUCUAACUCGAGCAUUAGCUUCAUAAACCAUUGAUGUAAUAGACUCAGGUUUCUGUUCGGGGAUUAUUUUCUUGAGGUUGUUGACAAUAUUAUGUACCCCAAAAAGCUUGUGAGCAGCCUCAAAAUCUUUUGCUUUCUCAUGAGGAAAAAACGGAGCCAGAGGGCAAUCUGGUCUACAUCUCCUACGUUGAUGCCUACAAGCUGCACAAGCAGGCGGUUUCAUGAGCUAAGAUCCCGGCAGCUUUAGAUGAGAGAGAGAUUAACGGGUGUGAAGGAGAAAAAGAAGGAAGAGAGGGUGAGAGAGGGGGGGGGGGGGACUAGGGCUUAACUGACGUACACAAUGAUUUAUAAAGAUAGAGGGACGUGGCGUGGUGUACGUGUGCUACAGUUUUUGUAUUUUGAAUGAAAUUUAUAUUUUUGGUUAUCUUGAUUUUCUUUCUCUGUGUUUGUUUUCUUGCUUGCUUUGCGCAACAAGCUUGGAAAUCUUGAAAACAGUGCUCAAUUUGUGUUCAAAAUACCCUAUCUCCAACAACGCAUAUAUCAAUUUUUUGAAUCAUAGAAGUGUUGCCGGGAUCGAAUUGCUUCUUCGGAAGUAUUCGAGAUUAUAGUAGCGAUGAUGGUUUAAAGUGUUUUUCAUUUAAAAAUAUAUUAAAAUAAUUUUUUUUAAUUUUUAAAAAUUAUUACACUCCUUACAUUGCCGCAUUUUAUUCCUUUCCCUUCAGAACUGGAAGCGCUAAAACUCAUACAUUUUGUCCAUCCCAUGUAUUAACUUUAAUUUAUGUUCCAACUAGCAGCGUUCAUAACUACUGUUCAAAACAAUUCAGAUGUUGCGUGGUGUUAUAAUGGUAAUUUUUUAAAGUUUUUUUUAGAAAUAUAUUAAAAUAAUAUUUUAAAAAUAUAUAUUUUUAAUAUUAAUAUGUCAAAAUAAUUCAAAAAUAUAAAAAAAUUAAAUUUAAAUAAUUUUUUUUAAAAUUUUAACCAAUCUCUAAUUAAACGCGGCCGCAAUGUUGUGGGGAGCUGUUUGUUGCCAAAUCCAUCGCUUGUUGUCAUGUCGUAGGCCACAUAAGCAGAUAUAUGGAUAAAUGCCAGCUCAUCGAUGAUGGACCUGCCAACGUGAAAGUAUGCAACUGGUGUGUUGUGUAUAGUGAAUUAGUUUAAGCAUUUUAAACCAAAUUUGUGCCUUUCAAAUAAUUUUGGCAGUGUAGUUACAGAUACUUUUCAAAUAAUUUUUUGUAUUAAAAUGCAUGCUAAUAAUAUUUUUUUAUUUUUAAAAAAUUAUUUUUGACAUCAGCACAUCAAAACGAUCCAAAACAUACAAACUAUAUUAAAUUUUAAUAAAAAAAAAUUUAAAUUUUUUAGGAACGUAGCCGUAUUCCCAAACGUUCACUUAUUAUUGUUGUUGUCAAUGUUAUUUUCAUUCUAAUUCUAGGCAUUCAAAAAGAAAGAUUUACUAAUUCUUUAGGCAGUUCAUUAAAUUACGCAUGUGGGAUAACACUACAUUUUUUAAUUUUUUUCAUGUUAGAAAAGGGAGCCCAAGACCUCCAGAAAAAACUAAACAGGGUACAUACCCUCACCACAUCUUCGAGAUGUAGAGGGUAUUUUAGAAUGUGACACAUCUUUCGAAUAUAAAGGGUAUUUGAAAAUAUGAUAGUUGUUGUUUUUUAAAAUGUUUUUCAUUCCAAAACACAUUAAAAUAAUGUUUUUUUAUUUUUUAAAAAUGAUUUUUGACAUUAGCGUAUCAAAAUAAUCUGAAAACAUAAAAAACAUAUUAAUUUAAAGUAAAAAAAUACAAAAUUUUCAAUUUCUUUCAAAAACGCUUCCAAAAUAUAGUGCCAAACAAGCACUGCCGAAACAAUGCCUAUCCAAAAAAACAAAAAAACAGCACACAUCAACUUCCUAGUUAACAAACAAUAAAAUAUGUGAUGAAAUUGUUUAUCAUUCACCUAGGGCUUAACAUAUUCGAUCCGGUCCGGUUUUAGACCAAAAUAAACAACCAAACUAAUUUAUUUUUUUUAAGUUUUUGAACUGAACCGAACCGAAUACCGGUUCCAACCGAUUAAUUUCGGUUCGGUUCGGUUUUUUUCCCUUCCAAACCGGUUCAAACCGAAAUUAUUACGGUUGAGUUUUUUCUGGGCUUUUUAUUAACCACAUUUUUCAGCACUUUUAUUUUUGUACUUGCUUCCAUUUUCCAGAAAAUCAACUCCAAUUUUCAUUUUGAUCUCCUUGUCCAGAAGUUAAACCUAGCAAAAUAAUACACAAAAGGAAAGGAAAGGAAAGGAAAGAAAAGAAGUAAUUUGACUGCAAAAAAACAAAGAGAAAAUUAAAAGUUAUUGAAAUGUAAAAUCAUCAAAGAGCAUGGAGGAGAAGAAGACAAAUUUGAGAGAUGAGAGACAAGAAAAACAUUGAUAGGAUGUGAUACAGAAACUGUUGAGAGUGUAAAGUAUUUAGAUCUUGGUUUCUCUGAAAUCCUAAGAGAACCCUUUCAUGGUAAGCAAAACAAGUGUGGGGUUGUUUGGUGGUAGCUGUGUUGGCAUUGAUUCAAGGAAACUAGUAGUAGGCUCUCCUUAUUGUAUGAUGGCCUCCAAUUCGUCAAUGGAAUCUUGGUCCCAUGUAAUCUAAUAGUUAGGAUUCAUCACUAAUUGAUUUGAAGCUAGGGAGAUUGGUUGAUUGCAAAGAUGCACAGAAUAAUAGGUUUUCGAAAGAGAGAUUUUUGCUAUAUGAGGAGAAGAAGACAGAUUUAAGAGAUGAGAGACAAAGAGCAAGGAGAGGGGGUGGCUGAGAAUGCUGAAGUUUAGGGUUAGAAGAAAAUAUGCUAUUAUACUUGUUUUAGAGGGAGGGGGCGGCUGUAUGAACUGUGAAGUGUGAAUGAAAUUAGUCUGCUAGGGUUAAUGGGUAGAAAGCGUUUUUUUAUUUCUAAACCGAACCGGUUCGGUUCGGUUCGGGUUGUCCGGUUUAAGCAUUACAAAACCGGAAACCGAACCGGACAUUUUUCUAAAUAUUCUAAUCGGUUUAAUCGAUUUUUUUCAAGGUUCAGUUUUUACAGUUAAUUUUUUUCGGUUUUCUCGAUUAAAUUGAUUAUUCAAUUUUUGUUAUCACCCUUACAUUCACCUACAUAUAGAGCACUGUAAAUUACGACAAUACUCUUCUUUUCUUUUCUUUUCUUUUUUUGCCUCAACUUUUGUUUUCAUAAUUACACUUUUAUAGGCAUAAAUUAAAGGAUAAUUUAGACAAAUUUUUCAAGAAAUAACAAGAUUGAAAGAUACAAAGUCAAAGUGAAAAAGACAAAAUAAAAUAAAAUGAGUGACGGUCUUAAAUUAUUUGAGGUAAAAAAUUCACUUUAUCCCUUUUGCUUUUUAAAUGAUAACUUUUUGGUUACUCAAUAUUUAAAAAACUCGAUUUUGGUAUAAUAUUUUUAUAUUAUUAUUUCUUAGUCUCUAGCUUGAGAAAGGAAACAAAUAGCUAUUCCUUAACCAAAAGUUGUUGACAUUAACACUAUCCUUUUUUUUUUCAUAUGUGUAUUGAUAUCCAAAAUAAACAAAAAGAUAUUGUAUAUUUUUAUUACUAGGUCAUUGGAAUGCACUACGUUAUGGGUUAAAUUAAUUUUUUUUAAUAUAAAAAAAGUUAGGUAUUUGCUAACAUGUUUUUUAGUAGAAAAAAAAUUAAACUUGUGGGAGUUAACCUUAUAUGACCCACUCAACUUGGUGAGUUUAAAGACAACUUGGAUAACCAGAAAAAAUAACAACGAAAAUAGACUCUCACACAAAAUCAAGAGUUAAGAAAAUGAAAAAAUAUUUAUUUGAAACCAUAAUAAUUUAAUGAAAAGCAAAACAAAACAACUCAUGAAGAUCUAUUUAAAAUAAGCCAAAUAUUGAACAAUAAAAUAGAAAAUAUAUAUAUAUAAAAAAACAAAAUCAAAUGAUGAAAUUAAGAAAAAAAAUAUACCAAAAAAGCCUAGGCAUGCGAGUCUGAGUGGCCCAUCUCUUUCAGGCCUUAAUAAAAAAAGACUAGGUGCACGAGUCUGUCAGCCCCGCCUGCGCGCCUAGGCUUUGGUAAAAAAAAAAUUAAAACAAACAACAUGUUGCCUGCUAUCUACUCACAGGAAAUCAGGGCGUGGGUGUUUUACACCUAAAUUUUUAUUUCUAAACCAUAAUUUGACCCAUAAACACCAUAAAGAUUUAAAUAAACUUGUUUAUACAUUCAAAUAACCUAAAAAAUGGACCAAGAAAAAAAAAAUAAACCUGAAUUCCAAAACUUCCCAAGGUCAUAUCUAUUUUCCCAACCAAUUUAAAGAUGAAAAAUAUUCAAGUGGAACUCCUCUCUUAACCCCAAGUUUAACUUUUUUAGUGGUUAGAUUCUGUAUAACCUGAUAUUUUCUCUCACCAUUACCACUAUCAUAAUUCAUAAACUCUCUCUCCUCUUUUAAAUUAAAAAAAAAAAGUUUUAUGUCAAAAUUAAAAUUUUAAAAUUUAUAGGUAUUGAAAAGUUUUUAUUUGAGAAGUAGAAGGUUCAAAGUGAAUGUUCCGCAACAACUUUUAAAUUGUAAUCCAUUUUUCUUAUAUUUUUUUUAUUUUAGUCCUCUAUUUUUUUUAAUUUGUCCCUUUCUUAGCAAAUAAAAAACAAUUAGCUAUCAAUUUAUCCACAAAAAGAUAAUUUCGAUGUAGAAAUCAUCUAUGCCUUUUAGUUCCGGAUCCAUUAAAGUCCUUUUUAGACCAGUUUUUAUAUAUAUAUAUAUAUAUAUAUAUUGUUCUGUUGCAAUGUGGUAAUGGAUUUCUUGACAAGAGUAGUCAUAGCUCGACUAGAAUAGAUCAAGAGGCCGAUGUUUGAGACAAAAACCAUGGAGCAAGAUGAUAGAAAUUUUGAGAAUUGCUUAUUAGGCUUAGAAGGCCCCUGGACCGAAUGAGUGGGUGAAUAUAUGUUGACAGUUUCUCUUGUUUAGCUUAGCUAAACAUGAAGUAGAGUUUUUCUAGCAUUAGGCUAUUUUCUUUCCUUAUAUAAAAUAGACUAGGAGUUAAGGUCUUGAUGAAUGAUUUUCUUGUUUAGGGCUGCUUUUUUGUUUUUUACGACAAGAAUAGGGCUGAAAAGUAUUAUUUAAGGAACAUAUCUCUUUGUAAUUUAUCAACAUGCCCCGAUAUAGAGAAUGCUUAACAGUGUGGUAGUGGUUGCUUUUCAAAUAACUUUUUGUGCUGAAAUGUAUACCAAUGAUAUUUUUUUAUUUUUUUUAAAAUUAUUUUUGACAUCAGCACAUCAAAACAAUUCAAAACGUACAAACCAUAUUAAAUUUUAGCAAAAAAAAAAAAUUGAAUUUUUUGGGAAUAUUCAUAAUUUUAAUACAGGGUCUCUUUCAAGCUCCUAAGAAUUUUAUCUUGCUCGUAUUUUAACUCAUGAGUUAUUUACAACUUUAUAUUUUAUCUUUUACGCAACUUAUUUUAUUAUAUUUAUUAUGUUCUUUACAAUUCCUAUGCUUAUUUAUCUUUACUAUUUUAUUUACAUGUUUAUCUUACUUUUAAUUUAUUUAUUACUCUUACUUUUAAAGCAACAUAAUGUUUUUAAAUCUAUAAACUCAAGACAAACAUGCUUAAAUCAACUAUGUUUAAAUUAAAAAAAAAAAAACUACUUACUUGUUAAAUCACUUUAAAAGAAUGAGUCUUACUUUUGUUGUUGUCGUCAAGGAUGAAUAAUUUGUUAUUAAAGCCUUAUUACUCAUUACUUAUGCAACUAAAAUAUAUGCAAUAUGUCUCUCAAGGUUCUAACACCACCAUUGUGGUUUAAAUGCACUUCUAAGCCAAGAUCUUUAAAUAAAAAAAAUAUAAAACUCAAAUAUGUUUCAACAAUAUGAAUCUAAACUCUAGAUUUAAAAGAAAAAUCAAAGCAUAAAAUGAAAAGAAAACACUAAAAAUAUGAGGUGAGAAAGAAAAUAAAAAUUUAAAAAGAAAUAUAGCUUUAAAAUUCUCAUUCACCUUUUUUUAAUGAAUUUUAAAAGUUAAAAUUUUGAAAAAUCAAUAAGAAUUAAUUUACAUCAUUAUCAAUUUUUAAUUGGUAAUCAUAAAUCAAUAAUUAAAUAUAAAAACAAGGUAUUGUUUAAGUAGAAAAAAUAAAAGUUUUUUAAAGUUAAUUUUUUAUUAAGUCAUAAUUUAUUUAAUUAAAACAAAUUUUCGCAAGGCAAUUAUUCAAGUGAAUACAUGUUGCUGAUGAUGGGCCAGUGACUGCAUCUUGGCUUACAAGUAGUGUGAAGUUUCCAUAGUCAGGAAUUUUGGACUGGUCAGUGCCAGAUAGUUGAAAAUUCUCACAGCUUGGAAUUCAUCGAUUACCAAUAAUUAUGGGCAUAGUUUUGAAACCUGAUCUGGUCAUUGACUCGAUUUAGUGACCGGAUCACGGGUCAGAUAGGUUAACCCGGGUCAACAAAAAAAAUACAGGCAUAUCAUUUGGAGAAUGAAAACAUUCUUGAUCAACAAAUACCAGCAAAACCCAAUUCAAAAUCAAAUAUUUUCUUCCCAUUUAAACUGAAAACUAACAAUCUAACAAAUACCAGCAAAACAUUCUCGAUCAACAAAUACCAGCAAAACCCAAUUCAAAAUCAAAUAUUUUCUUCCCAUUUAAACUAACAAUCUAAGUCUGAAAACUAACAAUCUAACAAAUACCAGCAAAACAUUCUUGAUUAUUCAGAUUUCUUUAUUAAAUAAAGCUCAAAAUAAUAUAAAAAAGAGUAGCAAAUUAAGUACCUUGAAACUGAAUCAGGAGAAGGUAAAUCAAUAGCAGCACCGCCGCCACUGCCUGACCUCUGUUGAUUCUGGGGAGUCAAAGUCUGCAUCUGCGUCUGAGGCUGUGGCUGUGGCUGCGGCGGCUUUCUAUAACAAACAGGAACCCCGUGGUCGGAUCUUUCAUCAUCAGAGAAAACCUGAUUCUGAUACUCACCAACAAUCAUUUGACCGCCAACAGGCACACUCGACACCGCAAUUCAAACAGGCAUCGGCGGCGGCGAUGACAGAGCCGCAAAUCCCUUAUCCUGCCUCUGCCCGACACGACCACCACCAACAGUCAUUUGAGCAAGUUGAUCCUUGAUCCCCACCACUUUCUGAUCUCUAACCCCACCACCAUCCUCCACGUGAACCCUUAUCGGAGGCAAAUUCACAAGCGAAGGCGAAGAAGAAGUCGAACCAAACGACGAUGUAGUCUCCAUUGGAACUGAAUGAACAUCUUGCUUUAAAAAUAAGUGAAUUAGCUAAAUUAUGAUACCUAAUUGAUUCAGUGCAUCAUUCAUCUCGUUGUUUUGGCCUUUUAGCCAAAACGACGUCGUGUGACCUUUAAACAUAUUAAAAAAAAAGGAGGUCGGGUCUCAGCCGGGUUUACCCGGGUCGGCCGGGUCCCGGGUUGACCCGCCGGGUCAACCGGGUUUCACCGGGCCAAUUCCCAGACGGGUUUUUGCUUAGACCCGGACCGGUCCCAUGCCCGGGUCGGCCGGGUCCCGGGACAACCUGUCGGGCCGGUCCGGGUUUCAAAACUAUGAUUAUGGGUGUUACUGAUUUAUCACAGAUUUAAUAUUGUAAUUAUUUUUCCUUGGUGCCUUUAAUUGGGAUUUUGACUAUAUUAGUGCUACUAUAUGUAUAUUUUUAAGUUGUAAAAAUAUUUUUAAAAACUUUUAAUUUUUUUUAAUUUUUUAAUUUUAAAUUAUAUUUUUUAUGUUUUCAAAUUAUUUUGAUAUGUAAAUAUUAAAAAUAAUUUAAAAAAUAAAAAAAAUAUUAUUAUAAUAUAUUUUUGAAUAAAAAGGAUUUUAUAAACUUAAUUUUGGAAGCACUGGUAUCUCAUUGAGUAGUUAGUGGUCUCAGGCUGAUGCGUAGAGCCGUCUCAAAGUCUUUCAAUCAUAGCUGUAUAAAGAUUAAAACCAUCAUCUUGAUUUUCAAGAUCUCUCUUAAUCCCACAGGACACAAAUCCAAGUGUCAAGUGGUAAUGAAAACCACCAUUCACAUUCUUGGCUUCUUCCCAAAUUCCAGAUCACUCUCCGUUGCCAAUUGCCAGCCAAACUGCUCUGUAUUUCGUACCUUCACCGUAUCAUCAAGAAAUGAAAUCAAAAGAAUCAACAGGAGGCCUCUCUUCUGAUAUUCUCUACGAUGCAGACCUCUUUCAAUGCGUUGAAAAUAGAGACGAAAAGAGAGGUUCCAUUGCCCGCUAGGGGAGACGAGGCUGUAUGCUUCAAUCAACUAUCUAAAAUUAAACAGAACUCAAAACAAAUCCAACGGAAAAGAGAAAUCUCAGUGCUUUCACAGCUAGAAGAAUAUGCUGGAACAGAAGAAUGUCAGCAACAAAUUGGUUUUGCACCAGUGAAAAGGAAUUGGGAAGGCAGAAAUUGUUUCAAAUGGGGCUAUAAAGGAAUGAUAGCAGAUUGAUAGAAGAUCAGAGUAAAAGAGACAAUUCCAGUUGACAAGAAAGACAGGCUCGUCUUUAAAAGUUAAAACUUUGGCAAUGAACAAUUGCAAACAGUGUUUCUGACAACAAUGAAGUUUAAAAAAAGCCAAAAACUUCAUCAGAGUAAAAGAGACAAUUCCAGUUGACAAGAAAGACAGGCUCGUCUUUAAAAGUUAAAACUUUGGCAAUGAACAAUUGCAAACAGUGUUUCUGACAAUAAUGAAGUUUCAAAAAAGCCAAAAACUUGUAAGGGAUUUAAAGCCUUUUAGAGGCCGUUUGGCACUGCGGCUGUGUUUUACAAUAAACGCAGGACUUUGAUGUUUGGUAAUCUCAAACUACACUUUUAUUUGGCAUGGGCCCCACACAAAAACUGAGGUUGGACCUCAGCUUGUGAAAAGCAACUCCCACCUGCUUUUCACUCCGUGUUCUCCUCUCACCGACGCUUUUUUUAUUGUAACAAAAAACUUUCCUUGCUCGAGUUAACAGCUCUGUUCCCCUCUCCUCUGUUAAACUUGAUUUGGACGAAGAUUGACGAACAGACACUCAAGCACUCAAGGUUUACAAUGGCCGUUGGACCAGGUAGUCUGAUGUGUCACGGGUCAUCAUGUUGAAAAUCCUUCUAUGGUGGGUCCUACACCUUAGUGUCUCUCUUGAUCCUUGAGGAACUAGGAUCGGUCUGUCAUAACAAACACAAGAGAAAGAGAGUUCGUUGCCUGUUAAGAUGAUGUUGUUUUUUGUGUAAGCAUAGAGACAGUAAUUCUCGAAGGGGUCGUCUUUUCUCUUUCUACUAGUUGACCAAAAGCUGUAUACACUACCAAAGUAUUAUCAUAACUUCUGUUUUUAUCCACCUAAAAAAUUUCUUUUUUUUUUAAUUCACGUAUAAUUGCAUUUAAACUUUAAUUUUGUAAAAACUAGAACAUGUUUAUAGACCUGUUUUUAUUUAUUUAUUUUAUAUAUAAAAAUUUAUUGUAUAAUAUUUUUAAAAUUUAUUUUUUAAAAAACCAUAACUAAAUUGUAGUUGCAUUAAUGACACUACAUAACUAUAUUAGAAGGCGAUCGCAAGAUGAUGAGGUUUUUUCCGAGUAUGAUCGCAAUUUCAAUUUCAUUUCAGAUGACUUUUUAUCUAAUAUUAUACCUCGCUUAGCUAUUCAAGGAUCACAGUGGCCUUUACGUAUAGAUUUUGUACGAGAUGAAAUUGAAAAUAGUUUGAUGGGACAAUGAAAAACUUUUAUUAAUGUACAAGGAUUAUUCAUUUUGUAUGUAAUCAUACUUCUAAAACAACAAUAUUUUGCAUAUAUAUAUAUAUAUAUAUAUAUAUAUAUAUAUAUAUAUAAAACCAUCAAUAUUAAUAUAUAUUUUUUAAAAUUAUUUUAUAAUCUCAAUUUCAAAAGCAUUCUUAACCAAACACAUUAAACUACUUUUUCUUCAACCUCAAUUUCAACCACAGUUUUAACCAAACUACUUUUUCAAACCAACCUCAACUAAAAGUACUUUUUAUAAAACAACUUUUUUUAAACCAUAACUACAACAGCUACCGCAAUACCAAACACACUCUUAAGGGGAAAAAACACAGCAGGCUAAAUGGUAGCACUUCACGUUCUACCAAUCCUUUCACUGUGAUGUUAAGCAGAAACAAGAGAGUACCACAUCAACCAGCAGAGUAGAUUAUGAAUUAUUUUAUCCUAAUCCAAAAACUAAACGAACCAAUCUCAUAAAAAUGUAGCUCAAUUUCAAAAAGAAAAAAGAAAAAAAACAAUUGAAGCCUCCUCUAUAAAGGGUCACAAGAUCCCCUAUCUCAUCCAUUUUGAUAUUAUAUGUAAACAAGGUUUUUUUUCUACUUGCUUUUUUUUCUAAAUUUGCGGGGUUUAAUUUUGGUCUCUUUACUUUUUGUAAUUUUUAUUUGGAUUCAAAAUUUUAUUUUAUUUAUUUUUAGUUCUAAUUAAAAAUUUAAAAAAAUCAUUAAAAAUUAGCGAAGAAAGAGAAAGUCAAUGAUUGAUCAAAAUCCAAUGAUGAAACAAGAGGUUCUUGGUAUCAACAAGUUUUAUUUGAUAAGAGAAGUUUUAUUUAGUUUUUUUUACCCUUUAUCUUGCAAUAUAUAUAUAUAUAUAUAUAUAUAUAUAUAUAUAUAUAUAUAUAAAGAUUGACAUGGAUUGUUUUUCAACUUGAUUUUGUAUUUUUUUUUACCAAUCUUGACGGGUUUUGAGUUGGAAGAUUGUUUUGUUUUUUUAGGUUAUUAGGGUGUUUAUUAGAUGUUUUUAGAUUAAAAUAGGUUGAAAAUCUUUUUUUUGUUUCAAAAAUCUCCAUCCUUGAUUUUUCAACCUUCUAUCUAGUAGUCGGAUUUUGAGUUUCUAAACGACGUGUUGUUAGAUUAUUUUGUUUUUUUAAAGGAGCUGACCAAAAAAAAGGGGCUAGGUAUGCAUAUCUGACCUUUUCAUUUUAUAGAUCAGUCGCAAUUGGCUCCCUAUGCCAAGUUUCCUAGCCUGUUUUUUUUUUUUUUCAACAUUUAGGUGUGAUUUUAUUAAAAGUUAAUUAAUUACAAAUAUAAUAUGUUUAUUAUAAAAAAAUAGCAAAUGAUUUUUUUUUUGGCUUUAGUGACUGUAUAGUUAAAUAAAAAUAGUUUUGAAAAACAAAGUUAUGAAACUCAGUCGAGUCCAUAACCUAAAUCAUAAGUUUCAGGUCAGCUCGGGUUGACACGCGUUGAUCCGAUAUGUCAUUGUCUCUAUAUUGAAAAAAAAAAAGAUUUCAUCGUGAAUGUUUUAAGUUAAAUCAAAUUUUUAUUGAUCAUUUGAGUUGUCUUUUGACCUGCUAAGCCGACCUGGUCAUAUCGAAUCAACCACCACGAGCUUAGGUUAGGUAAGGACUCAGGUUGGGAUGUUUCAAGGUUGAGUUGCUGUGCAAAAUUUGAUGAUGCUGCCAAAGAGUUCCUCGUGGCAAUGCACAAAUACGAUGUUAUUCUUGUGGGUUUUAAUAUAAUCACAUCAAAAUUAUUAGGAUGUUUUUUUUAAUUGAAACAUGCUUUUGUGAUAAUGAUAGAAUGUUGUCUAAAAACAAAUAUUCUAUAAACAAAUAAUUCAAAAUUGUAAUUUAAAGAAAAACUUUUUUUUUAUCAUAUUUAACAUACACCAAAUUGUGAGUUCACAAUUAAUAUUUUUCUUGUUGCUAGAAAACUCAUUAAUGAUACUUGCAUUUUAUUUUUAUGAUGUCGAGAAAAUUUUUUAUUCUGAUCCACAACAUAACACGAGUGAGGUAGCUAGUAUUUAUCUAUGUGGUGUUUAUUUGUCCACCACUAUAAGUAUAUGUAAUUCUUAUAGUCAUCAUUCAAACCAAUCAAACAAAUCAUAUCCUAACUUGUUAUCCUUUACCAGCUCUUUUACAAUUAAGUUGAACUUAUCUUGUAAUUUAAUUUUAACCAUCACUUUUAUUCCAUUUAAAAAUAAAACUUCAUCAAUAUUUAUGAUUAGUCUUUAAGAAAGUUGAACCUAUCAAUAACCACAUAAAUCAUUUUAUUAUUUGUCAAGAAAUGAAGGUGGCGAAUUUUGAGACAGACAAUUUGGUGCUAACAUAAGGUUAUAUUUGCUUAUUUUCACUUUUUAAAAAAAAUGUUGGUGAAAUAAUACAGUUGAAAAAAGAAUUGACCAAAUAGCAUAGUUUAUAGAUGUCGUUGAUUAGUACUUAAAAGUGCAUUUUUAUCAAGGUUUUAUAUCAUUAUUUUGCACUUGAAGUAUCAAUAACUCCUUAACUAAAGCAUGUUUUAUAAUAACGUAUCUAAUAAUAUAAGAUACCUUUAAUUUAUGGUAAAUGUUCAUCUUAAAUGCAGGCCUAUCACAUAAAUGAAAGAAUUGAGUUGAAGUACUGAAAUUGAAAGGACAAAGAGAUGGCCAAACUUAGAAAAGAGAUGUUGGUGCAGUCCAAACUGGAACAUUGUUCGGUAAUCGGGCUAUAUCUGGAGCUGUAGAUCUCGGAUUUAGGUCUACUUUAUAUGGAUGGAAAGGUAAGACAUAGGCCUACAACUUUCAUGCGAAGCCCAAGAUUUAAUAAGGCCGUUUUCAAGUCCAAAUUGUAGCAACAAUGAAGAAGCCUGAAUCUGUCCUGCAACCCAGACACUGUUCAGUGUUCAGCCCAUAUCUCGAGUUCUAGAAGUCCAAAUGAUCUCAAAUUUUUAUCCUGGAAAGAUGAGACAAUUCCCUAGAACUUUCAUGAUUUAAGUUUGUUCCAAUUAUGACGUCAUCAAUGACGUUUUUGGUAGACAAGAAGAUAAGAAUUGUCACCAAGUCAAGAUGUGGCCACCCACUCAUCAAUUAGUCAACAAAUCAAUAGUUCCGAAUUUUGGCCUAUAAAAGGAGGCAUUUGCCAUGUAUUGAGGCAUCUUGGUGUUCAGAUCAAGAUCAUGCUCUUGCUCUCUCUUUAUAUUUUGUAAUGCUUAAGUUUUGCUUAUAUUAAUUUCUUGCUUAUGCUUUUCAUUUCCUUUCCUUNNNNNNNNNNNNNNNNNNNNNNNNNNNNNNNNNNNNNNNNNNNNNNNNNNNNNNNNNNNNNNNNNNNNNNNNNNNNNNNNNNNNNNNNNNNNNNNNNNNNUUAUUUAUGUUUCUUUCCUUUCAUUAUGUGUUGCUAAGUUAAUAAUGUCAAGGUGAAAAGGGUACACUAAUGGUGUAAGAAUAAGUAUAAUAUAAACUUAACAUGGACCUUAAUGUUGGAUACUAACAUGCUUUAUAUUUGUUAUCUUGUUCACUUUUAAUACUUUGCUUAUUAAAUGGUUAAUCUAGAUUUAUGUUGUAUAACACUUGGUACAACAAAUACUUGGCACUUUCAUAGCCCAUACUGUAUGGUAUAACCGACACCUGAGCUAUGAAAGGAACUUGAUUUGUUGUUAACAUAAGUUAUAAUCAUGAAUGCAUGACAACAUUUACAAGUAUUAGCUUUAUUCGAAUAAGAUAACUAAUGUAAUCAUGUUAACAAUUUGUAAUCCGAUUGGAACCUCCUUUGUGUGUGGUUUCCAGUUGAGUAAUAAAAAGAGUUUAUACUAUACUUGUUUGAAAUACCAUUAGUGGAUCCUCUAACCUUGACAAUUGUUUUAUCCUUGUUUAAUCCUUACAUCAAUAUCACAUCUCAAAGCUCUCUUUAACUUAUUAUUGUUGUUAUUGUUGUUGUUGUUGUUAUCUAUAAUUUAUACAAUUAACCUCCCUGUGGUUCGACCCCGGUCUUGCCGGGUUAUUUAUUACUUCGACACUCCUGCACUUGGGAGAAGACAUCAAUCUUUUGGUCGUGUCAAGUUUUUGGCGCCGUUGCCGGGGAGGUAAAUUCUUGUACAAAUUAUAGUGUUUAUUUUAUUUUCUCUUUUUACUUUUCUUGUAUUUAACUUUGUUUCUUUUGUGUUGUUUCUUUUUCUAUUGUUUUUCUUUUCUUUCUUUUAUUCUCUUCCUGCACGUGCAUGAGAGUGUGGUCACGUACAUUAAGUGGUAGACUUUGUAGGGUAUCCUCAUCAUUUUCAGAAAAUAUGGCCGAAGAAGAUAACCAAUCGCUUCACAAUGAGAAUAAUGAGAAUAUUCGGGUUAGAACUCUUAGAGACCACAUGAAUCCCACAAGAACAAGUGCACCUUCAUGCAUAGUUUUUCCUCCUGAUGCAUCUCAUUUUAAUUUUAAGACAGGCAUUAUUCAACUUUUACCAUCUUUUCAUGGCUUAGAUUUAGAAAAUCCAUACUUGCAUUUAAAGGAAUUUGAGGAGGUUUGCAACACGUAUAAUGACUCAAAUUGUAGCAUGAACACCAUUAGAUUGAAGCUUUUUCCUUUUUCAUUAAAAGAUAAAGCUAAAACAUGGCUACAAAAUUUGAGACCUGGAUCCAUUCGUGCUUGGGAUGAAAUGCAACAACAAUUUUUAAAGAAGUUUUUUCCAUCUCACAGAACAAACUCUUUCAAAAGACAAAUCAUUACUUUCUCUCAAAAACCAGGAGAAACAUUUUAUCAAUGUUGGGAUAGGUAUCGAGACUUGCUUAAUACUUGCCCCCAUCAUGGUUUUGAAACAUGGAGAUUAGUUUCACAUUUUUAUGAAGGGUUAACUCCUAGAGAUAGGCAAAUGGUUGAAUUGAUGUGCAAUGGAACUUUUGAGGAUAAAGACCCUAAUGAAGCCAUGGAGUACCUAGACUUGCUCGCUGAAAAUACACAAAAUUGGGACACCACAGGUACUUAUGAGGCACCAAGUAAAACCCAACCUCAUACAUCUAGUGGGGGUAUGUACAACCUUAGGGAAGAUCAUGACCUCCAAGCCAAGUUUGCAUCUUUAGCUAAAAAAGUCGAAGCACUAGAAUUGAAAAAAAGUGGUCAAUUAAAAUCUGUUCAAGACAUUGCGUGUCAAAUUUAUGAAACCAACGAACAUUCAACUAAUGACUGUCCAACCUUGCCUUCUUUUAAAGAAUGUCUCCAUGAACAAGCCCAUGCAUUAAACAGUUUCCAAAGGCCUAAUCAUAACCCAUAUUCGCAAACAUAUAACCCUGGUUGGAGAAAUCAUCCAAAUUUCAGUUGGAAGAGUGAGAACAAUAAUGCUCAAACUUCACAGCCACCGUUUCAAGCACACCAUAAUUUCCAAAAUUCUCAUGGAUAUGCACCUCCUUAUGCUCCACCUCCUAGAAGAAAUCUUGAGGAAACAUUGCAUGCAUUUAUGGAAAAGCAAGAGGCAAUUAACACUCAACUUGCUCAAAGCAUGACAGAUUUUAAAGAUACUCUUGCAAAAUUGACAUCUGCUCUCAGUUUCCAAGAGAAAGGUAAGUUUCCAUCUCAACCACAACAAAAUCCCAAGGGGCAGUACCAUGCAAAUGCAAGUAGUUCGGGAAGCCAACACAUGGAUCACGUAAAAUCAGUCAUCACUCUUCGCAGUGGUAAGGUUAUUGAAAAACCCAUUCUUGAACCUUGUGAGAAUGAUGAUGAGUCAAUCUUUGAGGGUAAGGAAGAGGUUGAAUCUGAUCAUUGCAAGGAAAAGACUGAUUCUCCGCCAGCACUUCCAUUUCCUCAUGCCAUGACCAAACAAAGGAAAGUUAAUCACAACUCUGAAAUCUUUGAAACUUUCAAACAGGUAAGGAUCAAUAUACCUUUGCUGGAUGCUAUUAAACAGGUUCCUUCUUAUGCUAAAUUUUUGAAAGAUCUAUGCACUGUGAAGAGAAAACUGAAUGUGAAAAAGAAAGCCUUUUUAGCCGAACAAGUAAGUGCUAUUCUUCAGAACAAUAAUGCAUUGAAAUAUAAAGACCCUGGUUGUCCUACAAUUUCUUGCUUUAUUGGAGAACAUAAAAUUGAAAGAGCCUUACUUGAUCUUGGAGCUAGUGUGAAUUUACUUCCAUAUUCAGUUUUUUAAAGUCUCAAUCUAGGUGAGUUAAAACCAACUUCUGUGACUCUUUUACUUGCCGAUAGAUCUGUAAAAGUGCCUAGAGGAAUAGUUGAAGAUGUGUUAGUACAAGUCGAUAAAUUCAUUUACCCUGUAGAUUUUAUUGUCUUGGACACACAACCUGUUGAAGCAUGUAAUUCAUUUCCUGUUAUUUUAGGACGUCCAUUUCUUGCAACUUCUAAUGCAUUGAUUAAUUGUAGGAAUGGACUGAUGAAGCUAUCUUUUGGAAACAUGACAUUAGAGAUGAAUAUUUUCAACAUUUGCAAGCAACCUGGAGAUGAUAAUGAUUUACAAGAAGUAGAUUCUAUUGAAGAAUUAGUUUAUGAUCAACUUGAAUCUACUUUGAGUAAAAUUGAAUUAGAUGAACCUGAAGAUUUGCAAAUGAUUUAUUCUCAGGAAGAAAUCACGGAUGAAAAAGACACCGAAAAUGUUGAUGCGGAUCUUUUGUCAAAAGUGACAACAGAUUCGACAUCCGACAUCACACCAAUCGAUGAUUACUUUCCUGAUGAAUCCUUGCUUUCUCUUAGUUCAAUGCCUUGGUUUGCUAAAAAUAUCAAUUUUCUUGCUACAGGAGAUUUGCCAACUCAUUGGAGUACCGAAGACAAAGGUAAGUUUUUGAACGAAGUGAAGAAAUUUUAUUGGGAUGACCCUUACUUAUUCGAAUAUUGUCCUGAUCAAAUAUUUCAAAGAUGCAUUCCUGACAAUGAGGUAAGUAAUGUCAUUAAACUUUGUCAUUCUGAAGCAUGUGGGAGUCAUUUCUCGUCAAAAAAGACAGCUGCGAAAAUUUUACAAAAUGGAUUUUAUUGGCCCACCAUGUUCAAGGACACACAUGCAUUCUGCAAAACUUGUGAAAAUUGUCAAAAAGUUGAUACUGGUCAAAAAGUUUUGCUUUAUAAUUCUCAACUCCAUUUAUGUCCUGGAAAGCUAAGAUCAAGAUGGAGCGGUCCAUUUAUUGAGAAACAUGUGUAUCCUUAUGGGGCCUUUGAUAUUGAGAAUCUAAAGAAUGACAAUGUUUCUAAGGGAAAUGGACAUCGUUUGAAAGCUUACUUUGAUAAUUUUCCUAGUGAAAAUGAAUCCAUUGGUUUGAAUGAUCCUAUAGAUAAAGGUUGAUUAUUUUGUUUUUCUCACAUUGUUUUGUGUUUCUUUUUGGUGUGAAUUUUGUUUUGUUAGUCUCUCUCACCCCGAUCAAAUGGCGGAUAACGGUACUCCGUGACUUCAGUCGGUUCUUUCAGUUUCCCAUAAUAACUGAUAUCUGUAUAUAUUUGUGCAAUUCUUUGCUCUUUCUCCCUUCUUUGAAUCUCUUCUCCAAUUCUCAUUUGAAAAUGGACACCACUCUUGAAAAAUUGAAAAAGUACUUUCCCGCUUUGCCUCAGAAUGCGAUUACAAAAAUUUACCAUGCUAGGUGUGCAAGAUUGAGGUUGUUAAUGAAUCAUGGAAUUCCUGAAGAUAUUCGCUGGCUGAUUGAAGCAAAGAUCCGAUUAUCAGGUGAGUCCUCCAAUUCUUUCGUUUCACACAUGCCUGGAAUAGGUAAAAGCACUUUUGCAAAGAAACGUCGUGCAAAACGACUGAAAGUCUGUCACAGAUGUGCCAGAUGGACUUGUAAUGCAACAUGUCGUUCUUUAGGAAUGGUAUCUAUAAACCGUGAAGAUAAAAUACAAUUCAUUAAGGAUGGCCUGAGUAAGGGGUCUUUAGAUAAUCUUCUAUUAACCCUUGAGACGCAUCCUAGUGGAGAUGUGCAUCGUGCUAUUCAUGAUUUAUGGCCACAAUUCCAUAAAGAACAUGAUCGACUUAGUCUUGGGAAUCUGACUAAAAAAGACCCUGUUUGCCAGUUUUUAAGAAAACUAGAUGGGAAGCCUAUCCCCGACCCAUAGAGGGCGUUUAAGCCGUUCUUGGACGUAAAACCAAGGGAAGAUGUGAGCCACAAUCACAACUACCUGUACAUACACAUGCUUUUCAAAAUAAAUAAAUAAAUAAAUACAUAAAGAGAGAGAGAGAGUGUGAAACUCCAGCUGGCCUAUAUCUAGAUGAUAUGAUUGCAUUUUCAAAUCCUCAUCUAUAAAAUCUUCUCUUCCUUCCCCUCAUUUCUACUCAACCCUUACAUUAGACAGAUAUAGAAGUGUGUAGAAAUGGCAGGUCCCUCAAGUUAUCACAUAAAAAAUAUUUGUGUUUUCGGUGGAUCCAGUCCUGGGAAGGAAAUAGCUUUUUUGGAAGCAGCAAAUCAUCUUGGUCAGGUACUAGCUGAGAAAAAGAUUCAUUUAGUGUAUGGGGGAGGCAGCCUUGGGUUAAUGGGGGGUGUGGCAAUAGCUGCAUUUUUAGGAGGUAGUCAAGUUUUGGGGGUCGUCCCCGAAGCUUUAACAAAAGGGGACAUCAUUGGAAGAACAAUUGGAGAGGAACUACAGGUCUCCACAAUGUCUGAUCGAUUGAAUGCAAUGUUUAACCAUGCUGAUGCCUUCAUUGCCUUACCAGGUGGUUUGGGCACAUUGGAAGAGAUCUUUCAUAUUUCCUCUUGGGCCCAACUUCACAUUCACCAUAAACUUAUAGGUUUGCUCAAUGUUAAUGGUUUUUAUGAUAAUUUGUUGUCUUUUCUUGAUCAAGCUGUGGAACAGGAAUUUCUAACAUCUUCGGCACGACAACUCAUAAUCUCUGCUGCUACUGCUGAACAAUUGAUCGACAAACUACAAUCUUUCACCCCUGUAAUUGAUCCUUCCAUGAGUCGCAUAAAUUGGUCAACUACAGAAAGCCGUAAAAAGCUUAGAUUGGAUUUGAGCCUUCGUUUGUGAAUCCUUGUGUCUUUUGGUUUUAUUAUUAGCAUAUUAUUUUGUUUUGUUAUUUCUUAUAUUUGUUUAAGUGUGUUUCAGGUUUGUCAGUGUUCGUUAUUUCAGGUGAUGUCUUCUAUACUCUAUCUUUCUAUCUUAUGACAUUGAAGACAAUGUCUUGUUCUGGUUGGGGGGAGAGGGUAGUAGUUGACAUUAAAAAAAAAAAAAAAACUAACUUACUAACUGUUUUUGCUAUUAUUAAAACCAUUUGACAAAACUGUUAUUACUAGGAUGGCAGAGUAAGGGGAAAUUUUAGUGACUCUUGAGACGCAUCUUAGUAAACAUUUUCCAAUGGUUAUUUGCAAUACUCAUAACAAGGCCUAUUAGAAUACUUCUUGAAAUAUUCAGGUUUACAAACUCUCGCAUUGUUAUCACUUGAUUCUGCUCAUAUACUCAUUUAACAAGUAUUCUUAAACCUUCAUUUUCACACACACACUUUAACAUAUGAUUGUGGGUUGCACAUUGGAUUAUUACAUAUUUAUGUUCUUUUGUUAAAAGUAACAACUAAGGGAUAGGGAUAGUCUAUAAUUUAAAAAAAAAAAAAAAAAAACAACAACAAAAAUUGAUGAUAAUAAAAGCGUAGAUAAGUUUGGUUUCGUAGCCUCCCUAACCUAAGCAAUUAAGCCCGAAGGGGUGUUUUAAUACCUAAUACCCUAAAGUCAACUGACUUGGGAGCUAUUGGCCCAAAGCUUGUUACAUGGGUUAAGGAGAAAAGCUUAAGGGAAUCAAACAUUGCACUAUCUACGUAUCAGUAUCUGCAACCCGAGUUACUAAGCUCGUAGGGGUGUCUCAACACCUAAUGCCCUAAGACCAACUGGUCUGGGAGUCAUUAGCCGAAAGCUCGUUACAUGGGUUAAAGAUGCAUUGUGUUUUAAGUAUAUGUAUAUAUAUAUUGAAAAAAAAUACCAAAAAAAAAAAGAAAAAAAGAAAAAAAAAAGAAAAAAAAAAAAGAAGAUAAUAAUCCCAACCCAAGGAAGUUAACCUUAAACAUUAGAACAGAAUAUUGUUUUCUUCCAAUAAAAGCCCCAUCAUCUAUGUUUUCAUACAUUGAGCACAUAAAAAGGAAGGUUUAAUAAUAUUUUGUUUAAGAGGUAUUGAGCAGAUAUAUAAAAUUUAAUGAGAGUUUGUUUAUCUGGAUAGAUUAAUGGAAGUUGAAUGAUGAAUGUCUUGCUUUGUGAAAUUUGCAAAUAGUUUUUCUAUUUUAACGCUUUGAUUACUAGGGACUAGUAAUAAGCUGGUUGGGGGGUGUGAUUAGUACUUAAAAGUGCAUUUUUAUCAAGGUUUUAUAUCAUUAUUUUGCACUUGAAGUAUCAAUAACUCCUUAACUAAAGCAUGUUUUAUAAUAACGUAUCUAAUAAUAUAAGAUACCUUUAAUUUAUGGUAAAUGUUCAUCUUAAAUGCAGGCCUAUCACAUAAAUGAAAGAAUUGAUUGAUGAGUUGAAGUACUGAAAUUGAAAGGACAAAGAGAUGGCCAAACUUAGAAAAGAGAUGUUGGUGCAGUCCAAACUGGAACAUUGUUCGGUAAUCGGGCUAUAUCUGGAGCUGUAGAUCUCGGAUUUAGGUCUACUUUAUAUGGAUGGAAAGGUAAGACAUAGGCCUACAACUUUCAUGCGAAGCCCAAGAUUUAAUAAGGCCGUUUUCAAGUCCAAAUUGUAGCAACAAUGAAGAAGCCUGAAUCUGUCCUGCAACCCAGACACUGUUCAGUGUUCAGCCCAUAUCUCGAGUUCUAGAAGUCCAAAUGAUCUCAAAUUUUUAUCCUGGAAAGAUGAGACAAUUCCCUAGAACUUUCAUGAUUUAAGUUUGUUCCAAUUAUGACGUCAUCAAUGACGUUUUUGGCAGACAAGAAGAUAAGAAUUGUCACCAAGUCAAGAUGUGGCCACCCACUCAUCAAUUAGUCAACAAAUCAAUAGUUCCGAAUUUUGGCCUAUAAAAGGAGGCAUUUGCCAUGUAUUGAGGCAUCUUGGUGUUCAGAUCAAGAUCAUGCUCUUGCUCUCUCUUUAUAUUUUGUAAUGCUUAAGUUUUGCUUAUAUUAAUUUCUUGCUUAUGCUUUUCAUUUCCUUUCCUUGUUUAUUUAUGUUUCUUUCUUUCAUUAUGUGUUGCUAAGUUAAUAAUGUCAAGGUGAAAAGGGUACACUAAUGGUGUAAGAAUAAGUAUAAUAUAAACUUAACAUGGACCUUAAUGUUGGAUACUAACAUGCUUUAUAUUUGUUAUCUUGUUCACUUUUAAUACUUUGCUUAUUAAAUGGUUAAUCUAGAUUUAUGUUGUAUAACACUUGGUACAACAAAUACUUGGCACUUUCAUAGCCCAUACUGUAUGGUAUAACCGACACCUGAGCUAUGAAAGGAACUUGAUUUGUUGUUAACAUAAGUUAUAAUCAUGAAUGUAUGACAACAUUUACAAGUAUUAGCUUUAUUCGAAUAAGAUAACUAAUGUAAUCAUGUUAACAAUUUGUAAUCCGAUUGGAACCUCCUUUGUGUGUGGUUUCCAGUUGAGUAAUAAAAAGAGUUUAUACUAUACUUGUUUGAAAUACCAUUAGUGGAUCCUCUAACCUUGACAAUUGUUUUAUCCUUGUUUAAUCCUUACAUCAAUAUCACAUCUCAAAGCUCUCUUUAACUUAUUAUUGUUGUUAUUGUUGUUGUUGUUGUUAUCUAUAAUUUAUACAAUUAACCUCCCUGUGGUUCGACCCCGGUCUUGCCGGGUUAUUUAUUACUUCGACACUCCUGCACUUGGGAGAAGACAUCAAUCUUUUGGUCGUGUCAGUCGUGAUUGGAAAACAUUAUAUUUAUAUAUUGUUUUUAUUUAGAAUAAUGACAUCCAUAAAAAUUCAUUAAAUGAGAAGAAAAGAGUAGAGAGAAAAAGAAAGAACGAAAAAAGAAGAAGAAAAAGACCCUAGAGAUACACCAAAGUUUUAAUUAUGACACCACCGAUACCGUCAGAAAGAACUUGACGAAAUAAAUUCAAUAACACCAAUAAAGGUCACAAAAGGUGACCCAAGUGUGCCAUAUUUGCCGCCCAUAGGUGGUGGGUGGCUCACUCAUCUUUGGUAGCAAAUAUGGUUCACUCAGGUCACUAUUGAUGACUUUCUUUGAUGUUGUUGCAUUUGUUUUGUCGAGAUAUUUUUUAUGGUACUAGUGGUAUCGUAAUCGAAGUCUUAGAGUGUCUCCGAGGUCUUUUCUUUCUUCCUUUCAUCUAUCCUGUCUUUUGUCCAUUUAAUAUUUUUUUAUGUCUCUAUUUAGAAUAGCGAUAAACUAUAAAUAUCAUGUUUUUUCAAUCGUGGCAUGUACAAACUAUGCUAUUUUACUAACUUUUUUUCCAAUUGUGCUAUUCUGCCAAUAUUUUUAAUUUACUGUGCUAAUUUUUUAAAAAUAAAUCCUAGAAGAAGCCUAAUUUGAUUUGAUGGAAUGAAGAAACCAAUAAGUGUUGCUAAAAGGCAAAAUUUCAUGCACAAAUUCAUCAACAAUAAGAUUGGGAUCUCCAAGAAAUAACCCGAAAGCUUGAAGAAUUGGAGAGAUAGUUUCUCUAAACACAAGAAAAAUGUCAUUAAAACAAGUGAGUGUUUUGAAGGCUGUGAUCAAGGUUGUUAAAAUCGUGAUUUUAACACGGCACGGAAAGCUGCACACAAACUCGGAUCGUAAAAACGGAUCGUAAAAUCGUAAGGAAUUUUAAAAUACAUUAAAAAAAAAAUCAUGCUUCAAAUAAAAAUUUAUACAUAGUUCAAGCACCUUAAAAAACAUGUUUCAAAUAAAAAUUCAUACAUAUUUCAAGCCUUCAAAUAAAAAUUCAUACAUAGUUCAAACAUCUUAAAAUACAUGGUUCAAAUAAAAGUCAUACAUAAUUUAAAAUAACUUUUCAUUAACUAAUAAUUAUCAAACUUAAAACAAACAAUCUGCUGGUGUGUCAUGUAAACUAAAACCAGCUUCAUUCCCUUCAUCUUCCUUAUCAUUCCUCAAGCAUUCAUCAAUAUCAUUAGCAUCAAAAGGAUUAUUAGUAUCACUACUAGUACCAACACCAAUAUUAUGAACAUUAGUGCUACUACUAGUACCAACACCAAUAUCAUCAAUUUGAAUAUCCAAAUCAUCUUCAAUACCAUGACUCUCCAUUUCAACAUCAUUAGGAAUUUCUUCUUCAUCACUUUCAUCUUCAUCACCAUUUUGUCUUCGUGUUGCACUGUCAAUAGCACCAAGCAAAUCAAAGUUUGGAUGUUUUUCUCCCUCGGUUAUCCAAUCAUCAUCAGAUGAAAGAUCAUCUUCUAUACCAAAAUCACCAGCUUGCUUUUUGACUUGGUUAUCAUUCAAUUUCAGAUUGCACAUUACAAAUACCAAGUCAUUCAUUUUUUUCUGGUGCAAACGAUUUCUUCGUUUUGUAUGAACCUAAAUAAACAAUUCAAAUUUAUAAGAUUUUUAUCAAAUAUUUCAAUAUUUAAAAUAAAAAACAAAAAAAAAUUACCAUUUCAAAUGCACUCCAAUUACGCUCACAUCCAGAUGAAGUACAAGUCAAGCUUAGAACUCGGAUUGCAAAUCUUUGUAAUUCUGGACAUUCAUCCCCAUAAGAAUCCCACCAUUGAGCUGGAGUUUUUUUAUCUCUUGCUGUCUUGGCAGCGUCAAUGCCAAACAACCCUUUUGCAUCCUUGAAUGAUUCAAGUUGUAAGUCAAUUUUGCACCUUUCAUUUGCAUUAGGCACCAUCCUUUCUAAGCAUUGAUAUAAUCCAAUUUUAAUGUUGGCAUUAACCUUAAAAUUGGGAUUAUAAUGAUAAUGGGGAUUCAAAUAAUAAGCUGCUGCAUGUAAAGGUCUAUGGAGUUGAAGUUCCCAUCUUGUAUCAACAAUAUUCCAUAUAGGUAUAUAACUAUAAAAAAAAAAAACAAUAAAAAUAUCAUUACAAUAUAGGAAUAUCUCAAUUGAAAAACAUUCAUAUUAAUAGAUGACAACAUUUGAAAUAAAAAUUAGCAAGAUAUAUACCUUUUUUUCACAGAACCAAAAUUUACUUGUAUCUUCUCUUUUGCUUUAUCCAUUGCUUUAUAUAUAAAACCCAUAGCUGGUUUCUCAUCUGAAUCAACUAAUCGAAGCACUUUAAUUAGAGGAUAUGCUGCCUUAAUACAUAUAGUGACAUCAUGCCAAAACCUGUUGUCCAAAACACAAUUUUGAAUUCGUUUCCCUUCUUCUAUUCUUGCAAACCUACAUGAACUCCACUGGUUGGAAGUAAACAUAGUCAUCAGCUACAUUUUAUGAUCAUUCAAACAUCCUAGAGUCAAAUAUGCAGUAGCAAACCGAGUGGCAGUAGGCCUAAUCAAAUCCCUUCCUUUCGUAAAGUGCCUUAGCAUGGAAAUAAGAAUGGUUCUUGAAUAAAUAUAUGAGGUGAUUCUCCUCCCCUUAGCAAUAGUUACUUGAUGAACCUUUAACUUCUUCUCAAAAUCUUCUAAUAUCAAGUCAAUACAAUGGGCAGCACAUGAUGUCCACAAUGGGCAGCACAUGAUGUCCAAAACAAACUCUUUCUUUUUUCCAUUAAUAAUUGUCCCGCUGCCUUAUAAUUUGCAGCAUUAUCGGUGACUACUUGGACAACAUUUUCCUCCCCAAUCCUCUCCACAAUGGCAUCUAACAUCUCAAAUACCUUAUCAGCAGUCUUGGACAUAUUAGAAGUAUCCACCGAUGACAAAAAAACUGUCCCUUUAGGACUAUUAACCAAAAAGUUACAAAUACAACGUCUUUUUUUAUCUGUCCAUCCAUCAGACAUUAUUGAACAACCUGUUUUUUUCCAUUCUAGGUUGUACUCCUCAAGCAAUUUCAUUGUUUGAUCCACUUCUUGCUUCAAAUACUUCUCUCUAAUAUCAUAGUAGGAUGGAGGCUUGAAACCUGGCCCAUGCUUUGCAACCAUUUCAAGUGCCUUAAUAAACUCAGGGUUUUUUACACAAUUAAAUGGAAUUGCACUAGUGUAGAAAAACCUAGCAAUUUGUCGACAUGCUUCUUCUCUAAUAUCCUUUUUUAGCAAUUGAUUUAGAGUUGUUUGUGUACUUCCACUCCCACUAGCUACUCUCUUUCCUUUGUCCUUGGAGCUAAUUUCUUUUAUUUCAUCAUCAUCAUCAUCAUUUCCACUAUAUUGAAGGGCCUUUCUUUUCUUUUCAGCUGCCUCUAGAUUUUUCACUAAAACACCCAAAAUCAUCUGCUUAACAUUUUCUGGCACUUGUUGACAUGGCUCAACAUCCUUACGAGUGCAAGCCAAAUGCUGUUUGAAACGAAAUAUACCUCCACUAAUAAUUUUUUGACAAUACUUGCACAAAACUUUUCUAGAAUUUUUAUCAACAUCUAUACCAUGCUGCCAUCCCACAUCAAGCCUAUUACCAGAAGCAUUUUUUCUAGAUGCCAUAAGUUUAACAAUUCAAAGAUCAACUCAAUCAACCCUGUAAUCAAUCCAAACAUUUUAUGAUUAUAAUUAAUUUUAAUAUUAAACAUCCAGCUAUAAAAAAAAAACUAAUACUGCAUUCGGAAACUAAUACUGCAUUCAGAAACUAAUACUGAAUUCAUAAACAUUUUAGAUACUAAACAUCCAACUAUCAAAAAAGACUUACGUUUUUCUUCUCCAAAUAAUUUAUUUGUUGUUCACAAACUUUGUAGUGUUUUCCUCUCUGUCCCGUAAGCUCUGAAAAAUAAACAAACCAUUUUCAAAAUCAGAACCCAGUUUUCUCUCAAACCAUUCACAAUCACAGACUCACAGACUUUGUUUUCGAAAUCCAAACAGCAGCAUCAGCAGCAUUCAAUAAAAUCCAUUCAUCACAAAUUCACAAUUCACAACUCAGCAUCCAAAUCCAGUGCAAUAAAAAAUAGAGUCACACUCACACACACGCUACCUCUGUUCUGAAAUCCUCACUGUAAAGAAACUGUAAAGAUAUGAAGCUUACCUCUGUUCUGAGCAGUUACCACCGAGGCUGAGCAGAUGCAGCUCAAUAUUGCAGUCAAAGUUGGAGCCUGCGAAUCCAAUCAAACUAAUAUUAACAUCACUACAUCAGAGUAAGAAACGGAGAAACGGAAAAAAAGCACCCCUGGCACUGGAAAAAGAAGCACCCACGAACAGGGAAAAAGAACCAGUGGUUGUGGUGAAGACUUACCUGGUGAAGACUGGAGAAGACUGGAGAGACGCCGUUGUUGUUGUGUGGACUCUGGUUCUCACGGUGGCUGCUAAAAUGGACGACGUCGGUCGUCGAUUAUGGAAAAAUAAAAAAGAUCAGGGGCGACUGGCGAGGGCUGUUGUGGAGGUGGACGGUGGUUGAUUGCUGGCUGAGAGAAAGAGAUUAAGAGACCGAAAGUCCGAGACACCUAGUCAUAGAGGAAUCCUCAGUGAGGAUUUCGAAUUUUGGGUUUUCAAUUUAGGGAUUUCUGAACUUGAACAAUGAAUGUGAAGAGAAGAGAGAAGACUGAUUGAUUCGGUGAAGAGAGAUUAAUGAAUUGCAUUUGAUCUGGUAUAGCCAAUAGGCGGUCGACACGUGGCUCAUGAAUUGUAUUUAAUUUCCUGCGGGCAAAAUCGUUGAAUCGGCAGUGAAAUCGUGAUUUUAAGCGAUUUCACCCGAUUUUAACGAUUUUACCCAAUUUUGACCCGAUUUUACCCGGUUCCGAGUUUCGUAAACGAUUUAGCACGUAAAGCCUGAUUCAACUCGUAAAAACGUACGAUUUUACGAGUUGAAUCGUGAUUUUAACAACCUUGGCUGUGAUGGUCAUAACUUGUGAUAAAAAGACACCAGAGUUUGUUCUUCAAUUUAUGAAGGUAAAGAAAUGUCCAGAGAUGGUUUAUCCUUAUCUAAUAUUUGAGAAACCAUCAUAUUGGAAACAACAAAAAAGAAAUAUUGACAAGUUUUUUUUUUCUUUUUGUUUUUUGAAGUCAGUAUUGAUGAUAAAUUAGGAAGAGAAGUCUGAGAAUUAUAUUCAAUAAUCUUUCAAUGUGAGCAUCCUUUUUGGUUAUUGAGACCUCAUGAACUUAAAUGGUAUCAGUUUGGUUGUUACACAAGUUCAAUUCUUAUUCGACAUGUCUACUAAAUGCUUGUAACAAGUAAUGCGUUUCUUACAAUUCUCGUCAUGCAACAAUGGCAUAAUGAUUAUUUUUUUAUAUUUUAAAAGGAUUAAUUUAAAUACAUGAAAGCCAACAAAAUGGUCAUUUAAAGGAAAAAACAAUGAUAAAAAUAAGUAGGUUUGUUAACAACUUGUGGGUUUUUUUUUCUAGCAUUACUUGGAUAGUUUGGAAUAUGAGGGUCUUUUUUUCCAAUAAGUUAGUAUUAGUAUUCCCCCAUAUUCUCAUGAACUUAAUGGCGUCAAGAAUAGCUUUAUCCAUGUCCCAUGUCUAUCUAGCCAUGCUCUCAUGAUUUGAUCAUGUUUAUCCAUAACUAGUCAUGUUCAUAACCUCUAUAACCACCUAUUGUUAUGCUAUAAAUGCCACCCACAACACUGAUGCAACUUCCUCGGCCAACCGCUAGCCCUAUUAUUGCGAGGUUAGCUGUGUUUUUUUAUGACUUAGACUGUCUAUCAUCCUAGUUUAUAUUCGUGCUAGCAUGAACCCGUUACUCACAUGAAGUUUGCAGUGAACAAGGACUUACCAUUCCUAUCAUUAACUUGUUCUAAACCAUAUUAUGACUUUGUUCCUCUUUAGGGUCUUGCCUGUUUUCUAUAAAAUCCAUCAUCAACCUGUUUUGAACCUUGUUAUGACUUUGUUCAUCUUUAGAGUCUUAAUUGUUUUCUAUAAAAUCAAACUAAUGUGUUGAGACCAAUUUCAUGAUCUCUAGAAAACUGUAUACAACGCUUCUCAUCACACACAAAUAAUAAUCAUUCCCUUUUCAAUCCUGAAUGCUAAUUCAUUCAUUUGUAAGCUUGUAUUUUUUGAUGAAAUUCGGACACUUUCUAUAAACAUCCCAGUAUUCUAUCCCUUUGUUUAUAAACAAAACCAUACAGAGAUGAAUGAAUUAUAAACAUCUUAAUAUUCCACCCCUUUCUAUAAGCAUCCUAGUAUUUCAUCAUUUUCUUUAUAAACAAAACCAUAUAGAGAUUUGAAAAAACUCAAAUGAACCCUCAUAAGUUCAUUCAACUUUCCAAACUCGAUAUGCAACUUGUAAGUAUAGAAAAUAGACAAUAUUGUUGCUUGUGUCCAUCGUAUAACAACCGAUUUUGUUUCCUUCACCAAGGUAUGUUUCUUCACUAAGAUGCAUAAAACUCCCCCAAUUCUCCCUCGCUCAAGGUAGUAUGACCAAGCCAAAUCCCCCUUGAUCAGACUGACUCUUUUAUCGAAUCCCCUAAUUCAGCCACUUAACACAUGCAUUGGAUUUGUGUAUGUUAUUUCUUAACAUCAUCCUUCACUAAGAUAGCAUUGAGUUAUCCCUUUUUUGGGUAGUCCUUCACAAAAUGAUUUCCCUUACAAAUAAAAACACAUAAAUUUGAUAUUGAACCCUUACAUCUUGCCUUCACUUCUGACUGUCCAUUGCCAGCAAUACAUUUAGGUUCCUUUUCACCAAACUUCUUCUUUUUCUUCUACGUCUCUUCCUUUUCCUUAGGUUUAUAUGAUAAUUAUUUAUCUACUACAAUAAAUUUAACCCCAAAUUUAAUCACAUGAUAUUCCAUAUAUACUUGUUAUAUAUAGUGCAUGGAUUUUUAUUUUUCAAAAACUUUGGUAGAGAGUUUCUCCUAUUUAUUUCAUUACGAAGUUAUCGACUCAAUCAAAUUUUCACACCCUACAAAUAAAGAUUUCAACUUUUCUCAUCAUCCAAUAUUUUCACCAAUUUAGUGUCCCACCUUCCAAGACUUUCACAUUCUCAAUAUCAUCCAACAAUUAAUGUUUUUAGCAUCUUUAAUUUAUAAUUCAAGACAAAACUUUCAUUAUUAACAUUUUUCAAAGGAUAGAAUUAUUAUUAAAUAAAAUCGAAGUAUAGUUUAGCCUAUCUAAGGAUUUAAAGCAAACUCAUGUCAAGACAUAAUUUAAAUUAUCCUAGUUUAAAAAUAAUUAACAUUACAUCAUCCAAGAUGAUUUUAUAACAUUCUAAAUUAAAUCUAAAAUAUGACAUUUAAAACAUGUUUAGAUACAAUGAGCUAAAAAUUUGUUUCAUUACAAAAAUUAAUACAAAAGUGAAACUCCUAAAACAACGAUGGACCAAUAUGUUGCUGCAAGGUACUUGAAAUUUGUUUCAUAUAAAAUUUAUCACUCUUAAAAUAUAAUAUAAAAUAAAUAUGCAACACGUAAAAAUUCUUUAAUUUAACUUAAUUAAACAACCCUUGAUAAGCUUCACAUCUCUAGGAUACAAAUAAAUUUUAGUCCUCUCUUAGACACCUUUUCAUUAUCAAAUGAACUUUUAUCUAUGACUGAAACCAAGCUUAAACUUUAUAUCUAGUAUAGUUAUCCGUAUUUUCCUAAUCUGAGUGUUUGUCCCUAAAUUGAGAUAACUAGCUCAAUAUGCCUAAAUUAGGUGCUAGUCCCUAAAUCAGAAUAACUAGCUCAAGAUACUCAAACCGGGCGCUAGUCCCUAAACUAUGAUAACUAGCUCAACAUAUAUUAUUUGAAAAUAAGAAUUUUAAAUUAAACAAGAUUUCAAUAACAAACUUAACUUUAAUUAAGUAAAUUAAAAAGGAUAUGGUGUUUAAGACCAAUCUGGAACUUAUGCUUUGCUAGCCAUCCCUUGCUAAUGUAUGGUACCCGCGGUCUCACCUAUACCAACACGUACAUUGUAAAAACUUCAAAUCUCCAUACACACAAAAUCCACAUUUCCAUUCGACCAUCAUAACUAAGUUUUUAACUCAUUGAUAAGAACUUAUAAAUCUCUCUUUCUUUCUUUUUUCUGUCGUAAUUACGCAUAAAUUUGGGAAUAAUAUUCCAUUUCAAAUUUCCUUGAAAUUAAUAAUUUAUUCAUCUAUUAAUAAUUAAAUUAACAUGUUAAUAACCACAUUCAAUGGUAAAUUAACCAUUCUAAUUAAUGUUUAUUAUGUCUUAUAUCGCACGUGUGCGGCGUCGCGAUGAUCGUCCUCUCGGAUCAAGAUCAUUUCGGUGAUAGGGGAAAGAACUAGGAAUUCUUGUUUUUUAUUAGUAAAAAAAAAGAUGGAGUUGUCAUCUAAUAUUUUAAUAAUUAGAAACCCUAAUUAGUUUUAGAGUCUGAAUAAGGGGAUUGAUUCUUAUCAAUUUAAGACAAAUUAUUGUUUAUCAACUUAAAACCAAAUAACUCCAAACAUUCACACAAGUCUUACUAAUUUCAUAAAUUUAUAUUCAAAAUUCAGGCUAUUUCAAAUAAAUCAACAUCAAUCUAAGCACAACCCAUAGAUCAAGAUUUAAUGUUCAAAUCGACAUAAACUCAACCCUAAAUCAUGAACCAACAUUUAGUAUUCAAUUAGACAUCACAACCCUAAAAAUAAACUCGCAAUUCAACACAAAUUAUCAAACAAAAAACACAGAUGAAUUCAAAUCAAAUAAUGUCCAAACAGUCCAAAAAUAGACACAACAAUAAUCAUUUUGUCCCAAAAUUCACAAUGUUAUAGCAAUUUGUCCAAAAUAUAUUAUGAGUUUAUUAAUCGACCUUCUGAUAUGUUUAGCAUGUACAAAAAUUAACUAAAAUCAAGUUAAAAAGACUGUUAGAAUAGUGGUGACGCGUGUACCGCGUGCUAUCACUGAUUGAAAAGCUAAAAUUGGUAGAUUUAAAGUGGCUCCUUCACCUCUUCCUUUCCUUGCCGACAAUGCUCCUCUAUGUUCUCUAAGAAAGGAAAUUGAGGCACAUCAAACAUCGAUCUUCUGUUUCUUUUUCUUCCUUCUUUUUUUACUAUUUUGUUUCAUGUCUAUUGCCUUAUAAUUUUUCUUCUCAUUAUUGGUUACUUCAACAAUCAACAAUGGAGGGAAAAGUGCUAGUCCGUUGUGGCUUGGGCGAGAUGAGUGGUUGAGGGUCACAAUUGUGUGUGUUUUUAAGCAUAUAAUGUUUUGUAUUGCAUGCAAUUAAAGGGCAAUUAGAACAACAUAUAAAGUUUAGUCAUGCAAUUAAAAGAAAAUUAAAAUAAACUAAAAUAACAUUUUUUUUUUAUAACAACUCCUUAAUAAAUUUUACUUGUGUUAUCAACUCCUUAAUAAAUUUUCUUAUAAAAAUAUUCUAACAAAGUUUACUUGUGUUAUCAUUUGACCCGGUAUUUUCCCUAUAUUUCUUAAUUUUUUAAUAUGUAUAAUUAUUGUAAACUUUGUCAAACCAAGCCUAAUUAUCCAACAUUUAUUUUUCUUUACUAUAUUAUAGCUUUUAAAUUACAAAAAAAGCCUCUUAGUUUUAUAAUGUUAUAUUCACACUCCAUAAAAAAAAAUUCCAAAGUUUAUAACUUUACUUUGUAAUUGUGAUUCAUAAAGAUAAAAAAAUAAUUUUUAAUUAUUAAUUAAGAACUAGUGUUUGUCCCGUGCUACAUAUACGGGUGCUCUACUUAUUUGAGUUACGUUUGAUUCCUUUUCACUUGUCUUUUUUUUUUUUCCUUAUUCAAAAUUAAAGACAAAUUAAAACUCAAAAUGCAUAAUUUAUUUGAAGGGUUAUAGAGAGUAAGGUUGAAAGGUAAAAGAGAGUAAAGUAAAGUUACUAAUGAGAUAUAACCCAAAAGUUUUAUAAAUAGUUUUGAAAUUUAGUCCGGACCGACGGGUCGAUCCGGGACCCGGCUGACCAGAGGCUGGAAUCAGGCCGGGUUGAAGAAAAAAUAGGAAAAGAAAAAACUCAGUAUGACCCGGCGGGUUGACCCAGUGAACCGAUUGACCGGGCAAGACCCAGUAAAAGGACGUCGUUUUCAUUUUAAAAAAAGAGAGAAUUGACCUAGCGACCCGACGACCCAGUCAAAACCUGAUGACCCGGACAAAACCCGGAACCCGGACCUUGAACCGAGCCGGGUCUGAAAACUAUGGUUUUAUAAACCGAUAUGGAAAAAUAAAAUCCCUUAAUUCUUCUAUUUCUUAAAUUAAUUUCGUUCAACACUUAAUAAUUUGCAUUAUAAAAUAAAAAGCUCAUGUAGAAUGUUAAUUAGAAAAACUAAAUUCAAUUAAUAUAAAAAUAAAUUUGGUUAAUGUUCAUGUGGCGACCUUUUGAUUUCUAAAAUAAAUAAUCAAAACACAUGGCAAAAUCCAAUUAAAAAUUAAGAUAAUAUAUUCUUUUACUUUAAUGGAAAAAAUAUAACAUGCCAGAUAGGCAAGUAUCUCUUAAGGCUUGAUGAAUGAAAAGAAAAUGAGAUUAUAUUUAUGAAAUUUACGAUUAUGAUUACCAGGAUCUCAGAUGGAUUAUCAAAUUAAAAAAGGGACAGCAACUCAUUUUUAAGUGAAUGAUUGAGUUGUUUUAUUGUUUUAAAUUAAUUUCAUUUUUUUAUUCAUUUCAAUUGAUUAUAAAUAUAUUUUAUUUCUAUAUUUAUUCUAUUAUUACUUUUCAUUAAAUAUUAUAUUUUUAAUUAUUUUUUUAAAAAUUAUUGGUUAGAUUUGAUGGUACGAGUGUGCUUGGAAGUAUGGUUAUAAUUAUUUUUUAAAGUGUUUUUUAUUUAUAAAUAUAUUAAAAUAAUAUUUUUUUUUAAAAAAAUUAUUUUUGAUAUUAACACAUUAAAAUAAUCUAAAAAUAUCAAAAUAAUUUAAUUAAAAAUAAUAAAUUUUUAAUUUUUUUAAAAACACUUUUAAAAUUUAAAAUGUAAAAACAGCUCGAGCAUUGUUAAUUAUUUAUAAUUUACUGCUUUUGUCUUCGACUUUUAGACGUAGCAAAUAUAUAAAAUUAAUUAGUAUGUUAGGGUUCCUUGAUAUUUUAUGUAAAAAUAGUGCUAAACAUUAAGAAAAAAAAAGCAAUAUAAAAACUUUAAGAAUUUAGAUGUGUCAUUAAGAAUCAGGUUCUCUUCCUCCCCUCUGGUCUGGGCAUCAAAUUAUAUUUCAUAGUACUUAAAUUAAUCCCGAUCACCCCUAUCAAAACUCCCAGAAUUCCAUGGCAGAGAAACCUGAUCCAGUGAAAGUGUUAUACUGCCCAACAUGCUCUCUCCCUGCGGAGUAUUGUGAAUUCGGGUCUGAUUUCGAGAAAUGCAAACCUUGGCUCAUCAAAAACGCCCCUGAACUCUACCCUGAUCUCCUUAAAGGUAUGAACUUUUAUUUAUUUAUUUUUUUGUUUCAAUCUCGAAAACCCAGAAGACCUCUGCUUGUUUCCUGCUGUAAUGACUGAUUUUAAGACGCAAAGAAUUGAUCUUUUCAUUUUGGUUGGCAGAGGCUGACGAAAAGGAGGCUGGGAGGGUUUCGGAGCAACUGCACUCAGUUGGAAUUUCCUCAAUUGGUGCUGAUGGGUCAGCUUCUUCUGUUCACUCUGGUAACUUUUGUUUUUUACACUUACCCAGUAUGAGAUUUUAAUGGGUGUUUGUGUCGAGAAACAUUACACGGGGCAUGAUUACUUUUGUUCUCCAAAAUUUUACCUUUUUGUUCAUUGCCUUUUGGUUUCAGGAGAGACAUCAUCAUCUAAGCAAGAAGAAGUGAAAAGGCUUCCAGGUGGCAAAAUCAAGAAGAAAGUAAGGACCUGUUUGUGUGUCUUGGAAGCUUUUCAUUCUUUGAUAGCAUUGCAUUUGAGAUUGGCCAAACGCAUGUGAAAUUUCAAUUCAUAAAAUUAAAUUGUUUUAAUAAGUUAACUAGCAACCAUCAUCGACAUGCUUCCUCUGUAACUUGAUGAUGCUCAAUUUGCUUUAUUGCAUUUGAUCAUGUAUGUGGCACAUUUGCUUUCUGUCAUAUUUUCCACCUCCUCUGUAACUUGGAAUCCCAAAGUGGCUUGCAUUAGAGGUUUGCUUUUUGUUAUAUGAUGGCAAAGAUGUGUGGAUGAAGUGAAACUGUAAGAGCGAAGUGCUUAUAGAACACAUUUGUUGGAUGGUUUUUGUCUCAUUGAGGAAAAAUAUUAGUGACUAUUGGCCUUUUAGUUCACGAGAUGAUUUUGUGCUGGAUUUAAUUUUUAACUAAAAUUAUAAUGAUCUGGCAUUACUGCAUGGCAUUUUUAUUUCACUUUGCAUUAUUCCUAUAGGUAAGACAAGAAGUUGUAAUUGAAAAGGUUGUUCGCAACAAGCGCAAAAGUAUCACCAUUAUUAAAGGAUUGGACCUAUUUGGUAAGCCUGAUGCUGUGUUGGCUUCAAAUCAUUAUCUUGUGGUUUUUUGCGUUAAUUACUAAUUGCUAAAGUUACUAGUUGUAUCUCUUAUGAUGAAAUAUUUAUGUUCAGGUAUUAAAUUGAGUGAUGCUUCCAAAAAGCUUGGGAAGAAGUUUGCUACUGGAGCAUCUGUUGUUAAGGUGCACCAAAUGCCUCCUAUGAUUAACCAAAUUCAUCACUUUUUGUUCCUCUGAAUGAUAAAUUUUUUUAUUCCUUGUUCAUUUUCAGGGUCCAACAGAGAAGGAACAGAUUGAUGUUCAAGGAGACAUAGCUUACGAUAUCGUGGAAUUUAUCACAGAGACUUGGCCUGAUGUAAUUUCUUCUAGCAACCAUUUUCUACCUUGUCCUUAUCUCCUUCCUGACAUCCUUCUUAGUUGUCAUUCUUCUUUUAGACGUAGCAUGUUUUUGAAUUAUGAAUAUGAAAGAAGUCCAAAGUCAGUUGACCAAAGUUUUGAGUCAAAAGCUGAUUUGUGGGAGUUUAGUUAAUUUUAAAAGACCUUUAUUUUGAAACCUCAAGACAUUCAAAACUAUGGCUUUUAGAGCCAAUCCUGAAUAGAGAGCCAUGCACGCAUGCAAGUGGAGAAUUCACUCUUAAGUUUUGCGUUGUCUUGAAAGUUUAUUUUCUUGCUUUUGAGUUACAUGUGAUAGUCUUUGCUUUUGCCAACGUAGUUAUGGUUUGAUGAUGAUGCUGAAGAAAGAUUUCAAAUAUCCAAUUCUCUUGGUGAAAGAUUCAUGCUAGUCUGUACAAAGAUUACAGACUUGGCAAGAGUUUCCUUUUGCUCCUAUAAUGGUUCUGCUGCCUUUUGAUUCAUAAAUUAUGCUAUAGUAAUUAUGUUAUGAGUAGCAUGUGUUACAUUUACUAACGUGAAAAAUGGCCUGUUAUUCUUUAUUGGAUAUUUAUACAAGUAGAUCAUGUUCAUGUUAUGUGAUUUUUGUUCAUUCGAACAAUUUUACUGAUAUUUAUAAUUGUAUGAACAAAAAUGAUGUUUGAAAUUUACAAAAUCAAAAGUUGCUUAACUAAUGCCCAUGGCUUUGGUUGGUUUGAAAGCUUCUUGUGUGCUUCCAUUAUGAAUAUCGUCUGUCAAUUGUUAGUAGAAGUAUACUGCGUGUGCGUCACUAAUGAAUAAUGGGUUUUUGUUUUCACAGUAGAACUUCACUGUGUUCUUAAAAACAAUCUGUUUAAACUUUAAAUUGCCUUAUAAAUGUUUUGUAUCUCUCUUUCAUGCUUAACUGGCUUACAUUCCACUGUUUUUCCUUUCAGGUUCCUGAAACCGCCAUUUACUUCAUUGAAGAUGGGAAAAAGGUUCCAGCUGCUUGAUGUUUGCCUUUCCAAAUGAAACUCAGAUUGAUUUUUGAUUUUGAAAUGGCCCACUUGUAAGCGCCAUUGACAGAAUGGAACUUCUGAUAUCCCUUUUGUUUGGACGAGUUCUCACAAAAUCAAGUAUGUUUAGUAGGGGAAAAAAAUGCAAUGGAAGCAUGCAUCAAUGGAGCUGGAGCAUCGUGUAUCUCCAGUAGAUCCAUGAAUUUGUAUUGAGAUCUUUUUAUGUUUCUUUGUGUCGUGUUUGUUGAAUCUAACCUAUUAAAUUCAAAUGGAAUAGACAUGAUAUAGUGCAGAUAUUUUUAUUGAAAUCAGAGUAUUGAUUUUGUGGCAGCUAGUGUGAGUGCUGGCUGCUGAGCCACAUUUAAAACUUGAUGUUAAUGCUGAGAAGGAAAUUCUGACGUCUCAACUUUGUAGAGCCACCGGAAGAGUCCUAAAAAAUAAUUUCGUUUGAUGCAGGAUGCUUUGAUAGCGAAUCUGUAGCUGCGCGCACGCAUUUUGGGUUACCCCUUCAGCCAUGUCAACGAAGGUUGUCAUCAUGGAGAUUCUUCGUUCAAUGAUAAUAUAUCGAUCUUAUUGGAUGUGCCCUCAAGCGUCAAGCUGCCGGCAUUAGCUGCUGAGGACAUGCAUGAGUUCAUCUCAAACUGCUAUUAUAGUUAAUAGUAUGCUCCCUCCUUAAAAUUCUUUAAAAGAUUUAAAUCUGACAUGGAUGGUAUUUCUCUGACAAUUCUAAAAAAAAAAACCCUCGAAUCCACUAUUAUUAUAACUAGAAAAUCCACUAUUAUUAUAAUUAGAAAACUAGUUAGUGUGUUUUUUUAACACUUUGUACUUUAGGGUUUGUUUUCAUUUUAUUAUUGAUGAAUUUCUGUUUCUAUUAAAAUAAUAAAUUGAAGCUGAUAUUUUUUUUAAUAUUGAAACGAAAAUGACGAGAAAAUGAAAUAUUAUUCAAUUGAUCAAGGAAUCAAAAAUUGAGAAAAUGAGUAUCUAUAUAGUGACAUGUAGCCAGUAACCUCAUAAUUGAAUGUAUUAUAUAAUUUGCUGUAAAAACAGUGUUGAAAGUGACAAAUAUGAACUUAGACGUCAUGAAAGCUAGUGCGUGAUUCGAUAUGUAUACGAUGUAAUCGAUGUUAAAAGAAUUUUAGAUAAGCAUAUUGAUUUCUUUCCUUUAUGGAAACCACAUACAUGUAUUUUAUAGCUAGUUGCUAAAUCAUAAUGUUAUUUUGCUUACAAUGAUGAGCACGAAUAUUGUCAUAUAAGUUUAUGUAUUAUUGAACUUGAGUUGAAUGUGUUGAACAUCAGUGUUAAAAUUUUAAUAGACAUAACAAUUUCUUUUCCUUGUGAAAAAUCAUGGGCAUAAGUUUUCUUGAUGACUAAUAAUUCUCAUAAUGUUAUAUAUGUUGCAAGUCGAUAUCACGAAGUGGAUCAUAGCUGAUUGUGUCGUUUUACUGUUUAUAAUUAUGUUAGGUACUUACUUUAUGUAUUAUGAAUACUUAUAAUUAUGCUAAUAACUUCACAUGGAAAUGUACUAAAAUGAUAUAAGUGUACUUCUGACAUUUGAUAAUUGAGUCUUUUUUGUUGUGUAUAUCAUGGGUGUAUAUUCAUUUCACAUAUGUUUUUCUCUAAAUGAAAAAUGAAAAGAAUAUAAGAUGAAUUGUAAGAAGUGAUGAAAAAGAAUCGAAUUGAGAAAUAAUUAAACUGAUGGGUGGCUGAAAGUUAUUGCGUUUAUGUAAUAGAGUUAUUUGAUAACUUAAAGGAUUCUGCUACAAAUUUGGUAAGUUGUGGUAAGUUGUGCUACCCAAAUAAUUGAAUUGUGUUAUUAAGAAAAGAAUUGAGGAAAUGUAUAAGUUAUAGGGGAAAUUCUGCUAUAAAUUUGGUAACCUAAAGGAUCAAUAAUAAAAUGUAUUAUUUAGACAAAUUUAACCAAAAUAAAAUAAAAUAUUUACCCCAUUAUACUCAUACAAAAUGAUUAGAAAUGCAAAAGUUAUAUGGAAAUUUCGGAUUGUUACAAAUAUGGUCUUUGAUUUUUAUAUUAUUUUUUUGCUCUUUGAUUUUUUUUUAUUUUUUUUUGAACCCGUCAAGUCAAUUAAGUUACAUUAGAACAACUCCCACAUGAAUUCAUUAAAAAGCUGAAUUUGACAAAGACUCGAGUAAAUAGUUUUUAGGUUUGACUCGCUAGACCGGGUUUAAUGAUAAUGUUAAAAAAUUCCUUGUAGCUUGGAUAUUUUUUUUAAGUUUAAUUUUUUUUAAUCCAACCCGCAACACAGCGCCGAGACGUAAACUAAUAGUGCUAGCAUGAGUGAUUUUUUUCUAAUUAUAUUAUGUUAUUUUAGUUUAUUAUAAUUUAUAGAUAAUUUAAUAUAGAAUAAACUUUACAAGUUAUGAGAAAAAAAUAAAUUAAAACUCAUGAUUAGGUUAUAGAACAACUACUUUAAAAUGGAAAUAAUUUAUAAUUAUUAUUCUCAAAUCCAAGUCAAGUUAUGAAUUUGAUGAAGGUCCGAACCAUCGAAUUAACCCUCAAUACAAGAAUACUAAUUUUUGUAUUCUUGUAUUUUAAGUCUUCUUUCACCGAGCCAAAAAUCUUUUAUAAAAGCUAUUGUUUCUUUACUCCCAAGAUUGGAAUAAUAAAAGAAGCACAACAUUCCAUAUCUUGUAAAUAAUUAGGGAUCUCUCUCAACCGCUUCACCAAACAUUCACAAUGUUUAGUCAAUCCGCUUGUUCAUUUUGCCUUCUCAAAUAAGGCGAUAAACUUCUUCUUUUUUUAUUAAAUCAUAAUUCCAAUGAUACACGUGCUAAAUGCACAAAAGAUGCAGUGCAUUCACGUAAUUGAUCGGAAACACGGGUUAAUUUAUAUUUUUAAAAAAGUUAAUUUUUUUUAAUAAAAGUUAAUGUUUUAUAUGUAUUUUGGAUUGUUUCGAUACGCUAAUUUUAAAAUUAAUUUUUAAAAAAUAAAAAAAUAUCAUUUCAAUACUAAAAAAAACAUUAUGAAAAACAAUAGAAAACAAACUCUCAAACAAGUAGAUAUGAGUUCUUUGAAAUUAGAAUCUCAUAGAAAAACAAGUAGAAAUGCUCGAGCUCCUGAUUUCUCAACUCUUGCUUCUUAGUCACAAUUCAUUCGCCGUCAGAAAAUAAUAACAUCCAUCCAUCUUUUACGCUGUUAUUCUCAUCAUUGCUAAUAUGAUCUUGAGCUAUACUAUGUGAACCAAAAGUGUCGAGACCAGCCAUAAGGUCCAGAAAGAAUGUAUAUCCCAUAGAGAGAAUGCAACUUCUAAUCCUAAAUCAAAGCCAUUGUUAUUGACUUCUCUCAUGCUGCCCAUCUCUUCAAGGAAACCACUCCCACAAAAUGGGCAUUUAAUCUCAACUUUCAUUGAGGUCACCAUCUCAGUAAAUAUGUUUUGUAGCUAAUCGGUUGGUUACACGUAAUACUGAUUUUAUUUACGUAAAAUAUAUUUAUUAUUAAUAAAAGCUUUUCUUAUCUUUAAUAUUCAUUUAUAUUUGAUUAAGGAAUCUAAUGUUUAAUUAAUGAAUCUAGAGUUGUUAUAAUUAUACUUUGCAAAUGAAAUUAAAAAGUUGUUAUAAUUAUAAAAUGUUCUAUUAAAACUUGAUAUUAAUUAGAGUUGUUGAGACCAAUACAUAUUAUAUUCCUUACUGUAUGAAAGACAUCAACUUUUUUUAUAAACUGAAGUAUGAGGGAUACCUGAAAUUAAUAUGUAAGUGCUUGUCAAAUGACAUGCAUAUUAAACUGACUCGUAAGAGAAUUUCAUAUGGAGAACUCACUUAUGUCUAUGGAAAUGUUCACGUGAUAGUUGUGUAAGUGAUCUUUAGACUUGAGAUCAUUAAGUUAUCUUAUAUAGGAAGUGUUAUGUUUUGAUCCUAACUACACGUUAUAAUCAAGAGUAACAAACAUGUAGAUAUUAGGCAUAACAUAAACUAUAUGAAUGUAUUUGAGUAAUCAAGAGAGGAUUCAUCACCCUAGGUGUAUUAGAGAAAAUAUUUCAUCCGUUCUCAAAUCACUACCAGAAAUUCGCCUAAAACCAACGGAAUAAUUCUAUCGGUAUAUUGCGGUGAUAUAUACUGCUGGAUACUAUUCCGUCUGUAAUUAGGUAGGUAUGUAUCGGCGGAAUAAUACAGUCGGUAUAUACCGACGAAAUUACAGACAUAAUAUUUAUAUUUUUUUUUUAAAAAGGCGGUUCGCUGAUGUGGAAGUUUUUGCGGGCGAUUUUACCAAUGAAAUCACCAAGGGAUUCACCAAGAUCUCUGUACAGUGACAUGACUAAUUCACCAUUAGAAUUGCCAACGGAACCACCAACAGAAUGAGUCCGUCGGUGAUUCCAUCGGCAAAUGUUAAUAUAUCAUAACUCUGCUAACUGUCUCCCUCCGCUAUUUCUUCUUCUUCUUCUUCUUCCCCAUCCUAACUCUCCCCUCCCAAACUGCAAACAACCACCCCCACAAAAAAAUCCCCCUCUUCUCAACACAAGUCAUAUUUCUUUAAGUUUUGUGGUCACAACAUUCAUGUUCUGAUUUAUUGUGGAUUUUAUCAUUUUUUGUAAGUAAAUCUAUCUUUUUUAAUUUUAACAUUUAAACGUCAAUUUUAUUGUUUUUUUAGUAUAUGUAUUUUGUUAGUGUGUGUACAUGUUUUAUUGUUAUUUCUCAAACAAACUUGUAGUAUGAAUGUAUAAUUUUGUACUUGUUAUGGUUUGUUUUAGAUUUUGUAAAAUUAUAUUUGUUUGUAAAUUGUUGAAACUUUGUUGAAUUACCGAAUUACAUGUGUUGUGAUGAAAUAAUUAAUAGCUUGUUUAACGGGUCCAUUUUAAUUUUUAUCAAUGUUAUUGCGGAGUUGUAAUUUCCGUAAAUUUAUAUGUAUAAAUUUGUAUGGACAUUGAUAAUUGAUAAUGAAUAUUUAUGAGAAGUUUUAAUUAGUUUGUUGGAUAAUCUCGAGGUAAACCAAUAUUUUUGCAAAUUUAUUUACCUAACAUAGUUAAUUAAUGCAUGUUGUCAUCACAGUUUUAUAGAUGUUCGAUAGAAGUCAUGGAUGAUCGUUCAUAGAUGUAUCGAGAUUCACCCCAAGGAUUGCGGAGGAUGAAUUAUUGUAACGGGGUUCAGGGUUUUAUUAAUUUCACAACAUCUAUUCCGAGAAAUUUUACUGGAGGCAGUAUUAGGUGUCCAUAUAGGAAGUGUCAAAAUAAAAAGUAUCUGCAUCCAGAUGUUGUCAUGAUGCAUCUUCUAUACAAAGGGUUCAUGGAGGAUUACCCGUGUUGGUAUGCACACGAAGAACUAUUUGUUCGUAAUAAGAGCAUAAGAGAAAGGGUGGUUGGGUCAACUUUUAGUGCUAGCAACAUGUAUGGAGUUGCAAAUGACAAUAAUAAUCCUUACAGGAAUAUGAUUAUGGAUGCAAUGAGAAUGAAUCAAGGUAAUGUUAGUCAAUGCCCAAUAGUAGAAGAAGAACCUAAUGCAGAUGCAACUAGGUUUUCUGAUCUGUUGAAAGAUUCUAACGAACCAUUGUGGGAUGGCUGCACGAACCACAAUAAAUUAUCGGCCGUAGCACAGGCGUUCACCAUCAAGUCAGAUCAUGGGUUGAGUGAGGCCAGUUAUGACAAAAUUAUCGAAUGGACGAGAAGCAUUUUACCUGAAGGGAACAGGCUGAAAGAGAACUUAUAUGCUGCAAAGUCCAUGAUGAAACCCCUUAGUUUAGGAUACCAGAAAAUUGACACGUGCCCUAACUUCUACAUGUUAUACUACCUUGAAAAUGCUGAGUUGACCGAGUGCAUGACAUGUGGACAUUCCCAUUAGAAACCCAGAACUGGCAGGGGAAAGACUCUCGUGGCAUAUAAAAAACUUAGAUACUUCCCAAUCACACCUAGACUACAGAGGUUAUUCAUGUCACCAAGGACUGUUGAGCACAUGACAUGGCAACAAUCACAUGAUGUGGUUAAUGGAGUGAUGGUACAUCCUUCUGAUGGCGAAGCAUGGAAACAUUUUAACAGUGUGCAUCCUUAUUUUUCAGCUGAAUCAAGAAACAUGCGUCUUGGGUUGUGUACAGACAGAUUCAACCCAUUCGGGUCAUUUGCUGCUCCUUAUUCUUGUUGGCCGGUCAUACUCACGGUUUAUAACUUCCACCAAGGAUGUGUAUGAGGCCGGAGUUCAUGUUUUUAUCUAAUGCCAUACCCGGUCCGAGCAACUUGGGCCAGAAUAUAAAUGUUUGUCUUCGACCGUUGAUUAAUAAGUUAACGCAGUUGUGGUCCUUCAGAACUUUGACUUAUGAUAUAUCGAGGAAACAAAAUUUUGUUAUAAGGGUGGCUUUGAUGUGGACUAUCAAUGAUUUUCCAGCUUAUGAUAUGGUUUCUAGUUGGAGCACGCAUAGAAAACUAGCAUGUCCAUACUGCAUGGAAAACAACAAGGCAUUCAUGCUAACAAACGAAGGUAAAGCUUCUUUUUUUUACUAUCACCGUCGUUUUUUACCACCGAAUCACAGGUACAGAAAGAACAAAAAGAAUUUCUUUGUUGGAAAAGUUGAAAAGGAUGUUGCACCCCCGCGUCUUUCUAGUGAAGAAUUGCAUAAUGUUGUAUCAGAGUAUGAUGACAUUGUGUUUGGUCUUUAAUCAGGUAAGGAGAAGUUUCCUGGUUUUAAUUUGAUCCAUAAUUAGGUAAAGCGAAGUAUCUUUUGGGAGCUUCCUUAUUGGAAGACCAAUCUCUUUUUCCAUAACCUUGACGUCAUGCACAUAGAAAAGAACGUGUUUGAGAACAAUUUCAACAUCGUUAUGGAUGUGAAGGGGAAGACAAAGAACAAUAUCAAGGUUGGAUUGGAUAUAGCUUUAUUUUGUAACCGUAAAAAUAUGAAGUUGGUUUGUGAUAGGUCACAGGUCGCAAAACCAAGAGCAAGCUUCGUGUUAGAGAAAUAUGCACAACUACUAGUCUACAAAUGGCUUAAGAGUCUACGUUUUUUCAAUGGACAUGCUUCAAACAUAUCAAGGUUCGUUAAUAUGGAGGAAUGCAGAUUGUAUGGAAUGAAGAGUCAUGACUGUCACGUGUUUAUGCAAACACUCAUUCCAUUAGCUUAUCGUGAUUUGUUGCCAAAAGGGAUAUGAGAUGCACUCGCGGAGAUCGGUCAAUUCUUUAGAGAUAUAUGCUCCAGCAAGUUGAAUGUUGAUCACAUUGAGAGGCUUGAAACAAAUAUCGUUAAGAUACAAUGCAAACUUGAGAUGAUAUUCCCUUCAUUAUUUUUUGACUCAAUGGAGCAUCUCCAUAUACAUUUUGACUCAAUGGAGCAUCUCCCUAUACAUUUAGCGUUUAAGGCAAAAGUUGGAGGACCACUCUAGUAUAGAUUAUAAUGUAAUUCAUAUAUAAAAGUAUUUUCUUUGUUUUUCUUAAUUGAAAAUAUAUGAUUAAUUUAAUAUUCUUAAUUGAAAAUAUAUGAUUAAUUUAAUACAGGUACUUUUCAAUCUUAAGAAAAAGGUUAAGAACAAGGUGCAUAUUGAAGCUUCAACAUUUAUCUCGUACUAUUUCGAACCUUAUUUGAGAAUGAGAAUCAAUCGCGUUCCACGGCAUGAUGAUGGUGGUGAAGUGCCUUCUAGUGGGAACUUGUCAAUAUUCUCCAAUCCUGGACGACCCACACCUAAAAAUGCCGUAAGGGGAAGAUAUUUGUCGGAAAUAGAGUUCAGACAAGCACACAAUUAUGUUCUAUUUAACUGUGAUGAGCUGAGACCUUUUAUUCAGUAAGUAUAUGUACUACUAAUUAAACUUUGUUAAGAAUAUACUAUUUAUAUAUUGUAAUAUCAUAAACUCAUAUAAUUUGGAACAACCUUGCAGGCAACAUCGAUAAUAUUUACUGUCCAAUAACUCACAGCUGACCGAAUCUCAAAUCUUUCAAUUACAAGAUGAACAAUUUACCAUGUGGUUCAGAACACAUGUAAGUACUAUAACAAACUCAUUAUCUCUUGCAAAGAUACUGUAUGUCGUUACAAAAUUCUCGUUUACUAUUCAUGUUGUACAUUAUAUACAAAGUUUAUCAAAUGGGAAGGAGUGUUGCUAUGUUAUUGUCUUCACUAAGCCUGAGCCCUGAAAGAAAAGUUAAGUGCUACAAUGGGUAUUUUAUCAAUAGAUAAGUGUUCCAUACUGAAGAAUACGGGCAUGGAAGAAUGACAUAUAACAGUGGUGUUUGUGUUAAGGGAUCAACUUGUAGUGGUUAGAAGUUGACUACCAUGGUAGAUUAUAAGAGGUCAUCAAAUUGCAAUAUCAUAGCGAGCAGAAUUGAGUGUUUUUAUUUAAAUGCUAUUGGUAUGACACCACUGACAGAGGAAUCAAAAUAGAUCCUCACUAUGGUCUGGUUGAAAUUAAUCAAAAGCUAGACUCCACAACAUAAACGAUGUCUUUGUUUUUGCAAAGUAAUGCCAACAGCCAACAAGUUUAUUACACAUACACUCCUUUCUUUAGAAAGGAUCGAUCAAGAGUUAAUUGGUUAUUGGUUUUAAAAACAAAACCCAGGGGUCAUGUCGAGAUUGUUCAGGAUGAGAACGAAGACACAAGUGUGUGAGAUGAAGUCUUUCAAGUUAGUGAGUUGGUUGAAUCAUAUCGAGUUGCUCCUUCGAUUGACUAGGAAGAAAAUUCAAUUUUUUGUGUUUUUUAUGAUAGUCUUGUUGAUGUUGACGCAGAGGAGUUGAAUGUUAUUUUGAGCUCUAGCUGACAAGCAAAUGUCGAUGAAGAUGAUGAUGAUGAUAUCCAUAUUAAAAAUUGCGAUAGAGCUGAUGAUUAUUCAAUUGACGACGAAGAAGAAGAAAAUUCUGAUUAACUAUUAGAAUCAAGGAAAGUGUAAAGCACUUUUUUUAUAAUGUAAUAUAUAUUAUUGAUGAUAUUUUAUAAUACGAAAUAUUUAUUUUAUAAGUGUUAACUGUUAUUAUUGUUUUGUGCGAUGGGCAGUUUGUAAUUUAAGUGUUUGCAAGAAGAUAAAUAGGGAAUACAAACAUAAUCUUUCAUGCACAGUGCACAAUCACCGAGUUGAUACCGACGGAUACAGUCCGUCAGCAUUUUACAAAGAGUUGCAAAAAUAUUUACUGGAAAUUCCAUUAUCACUGACGUUUAUACUGACAGAUAUAGUACGUUGGCAUUUCACAGAGAGUUGUAUUUACUGGAAAUGCAACUAUAUCUGACAAAAUCUAUCCCCAACGGGUAGAGGCCGUCAGCAUUUGUCAGCUCAGUUCAUAAUUACUGACAAAAUCACCGACGGACAGUUCGAAUUCCAAAGGAUGUAUAAUUAAUGCCCGCGUGCAUUUUUAGACGGAAUGCAAAAAUUAUAGAGGGUAAUUAAAAAAAAAUUAGUGCGAAAUUCAAAAUUUGUCGACGGAUUUUUAAAAAUUCACCGACAGAAUAAUUAAAAAUAAUAUUAUUUAAAUUGUCCAUUGGGGAUUCCAUCGGUAAAACUGCGCUAUAAAUCCCUGCGACCAACCCUUCAGUUCAUUUUUCCUCUGCUUCGUUUCAUAGCUCUCGUUCUGUUUUUUUUCCUCUCAUUUGCUUCAAACUCUUGUUUUUUGCUUCAAAUCUCUAGUUAUAUCUUCAACAAAUUAAAAGGCAUGUAUUUCCAUUUAAUAUGCUUAAUGAUUUUAUUUUUUUAUAUUUUCUUUGUUCUAGUUAUUAUUAUUUUUGUUGUGUUUUUUGUUUUGGUGCAUUUUUAUAAUAUAGAUAAAGUCUUGAAAUAAACACAUUAUUAAGGUAAGCAUUUGUUAUUCCUAAAGUCUAUAGUUUUUUCUUUUAAUUUGUUGAAUAUAUUUUAUUGUUUGUAUUGCCAUAAUAAUUGAAUACUUUGUUGAAUUUUAAUUGUUAUUGUUGAAUUUAACUUGUAAUUAGUAAUUGAAUAUAUAGGAAUAAAUUUAAUUAUUUUAUCUCAAUUGUACUCUAUUAUUGCAUGAUAUUGUCAAUAUUUGCAGGUUUGAAAACUUUGGGUAGUCUCCAGUAUAGGGGAGGUGCUGCCGCAUUGUUUUUUAAGAAUCGAAUUUAAUCAUGUAAUUAUUCGUAUAAAAUUGUGUAGAUGUGUAGAACGAAAUCAACAGCUCGUCGCUCACAUAUGGUCACAGCUAGUUCUUCUAGCAGUGAGGAUGACAUGUCCUUAGGUGUCGAUCAAGAAGAGGCACCUACGCCAACUCGCGAUGCUGCCUCUUCUAGCGCGGUUUCACAGCACAAAGGCGGUGCGUCUUCAUAGCAGAAUCAAUUCACCCGCAAGUACAUGGCACAUUGGAAGGACGACCUUUCAAUAUAAGUUUGUUUCAGUUUUAGUUUUUUUUAAUUAUGACAUAAUUCAUUAACAACUAAUCAAUAUUUCAUUAACUUAAUUUAUUUUUCAGGUUCACAAACAUUAAGUUCGCCCGAGUAAUAUCAUUGGCGUUUAAAUCGUUGAUGGAGAUUCCAUUAUUUUAAUAGAGUCAGGUUUCCAGACAUCCUAAAUGGGGACCUAAUAUUGAUGCAUGGUUUGACAAAUUUGAGGUUGGUGUUAAUUUCUAAUUUCCAGCUUAUUUUUAAUAAAUUAUUAUUAUAAUUGUAAAAAAAAUUUAUUUUUAUUUUAAAUAAAUUAUUUAUACACAGCACAAAUUCGACUAGGACAGCGCGCUUGACAAUGUUGUGAGGAGGGUGUGGGAAAAUCACGCAGGAACUAGGUAACAUCGGAAACAAUACGAUACUUUUUUAAAAAAAAAUUAUGUUUUAAAAUCUAAUUUGUCACUAUGAAAGUAGGUUGCGUGAUUUUUGGUAUGAAGCACAAAAAAAAGCCACAGGGCGAGAGAUAACGGUCUCCAAGGCUGGAACGACAUGGUGAUUUGGAGGGAUUUCACACCGCUAUACAUCCCGGGAGAUAAAUGGCCAUAAUAUAUUGAGCACGUGAUGUCUGAGCGGUUCACACGACACUCACAGUCCGGUGCUGGCAACCGGAAUCGGCAAAUUAAUGGUUCGGUAACAACGCAUACCGGCAGCUUCGUUCCGUUUGCUGCACAUGCGAAACGGAUGGUAAAAGUAAUUUAAAUAAAAUAUAUCGUUAAUUAAUUUGUUGUUACUUAAUUAAAUUUUUUUCUUACGGGCUACGUCUCUUGGAUGUGAACCGAUCCCAAUGGAGUUGUUUAUAGAGACGCGCGUGUGAAGUGAAGUCCACCAAAAGGGGGGGCAACAGUUCGUUGACAACCGCGCUCAGCACUUUGUGGUAUGUUCGUUAAACCAAUUUAUUUCGUAAGUUAUUAUUUUUAUUGAAUUGAAUAUGAUGAUUUUUUUUCAUUUUCAGAAGACCUAUAAUAGCUGGUUGAGGGAGAGAUAUGGGGACGAUCCUUCGACCCAUUCAGAUUUGUGGAUGGAAGUAGGAUCGUCCGGUGGACCUGAUAAAAAUCAGGUGUACAGGCUCUCCAACACUCCGGCAGAUAAUUUGCGGGCGGCUCGUAGUGUCUCAACCGUUGGGAGUUCUAAUCUAAGAAGUUCGUGGCCUUGCAACAACACACGGCUCAUCUCACCGAAAAUAUGAGCGACUAUCAGCGAAUUACGAACAACACACUCAUCUCACCAAAAAAUACGAGCAACUCUCGGCGAAUUGUGAACAACUCCGCCAAAUGAUCAUGAACAUCACAUCAUAGAAGGAUGAUACACGUGCGCCCCUUUUUUGGCCGUAUGGUCCCGAGAACAACUGGCCUCCUCCUCCUCCUCCUCCUCC